Molecule: long non-coding RNA, 72376 nt
Filed under: Daucus carota (carrot)
Lineage: Eukaryota; Viridiplantae; Streptophyta; Magnoliopsida; Apiales; Apiaceae
Description: long non-coding RNA (DCAR_LNC000858)
Source: RNAcentral
AACUGCCUUGGAGUCAUAUUGAAUAUCUUGAUCUCCAAUACAAUAAGCUGAAUGGAUCGUUGCCCACCUUGAUGUGUAAUUCCAGCUCUCUUUAUAUUCUAAAUCUGUCUCACAACAAGUUGAGUGGUGUACUACCCAUUUGUCAUACAAAUUUGACUUGGCUUUCCGUGUUGGAUCUGCGGAGGAAUAAAAUUCAAGGAAACAUUCCAGCAACCCUGUCAAAUUUCCAUAAUCUGGAAACCAUUAAUUUGAAUGGAAACCAAUUAGAAGGAAGCAUUCCUUCUUCUUUUGCUGGAUUUGAUUCUUUAGCCGUUCUUGAUCUUGGAAAUAAUCAGAUAAAUGAUACAUUCCCCCAGUGUUUGGAAGCUCUUCCAAAUCUUCAAGUUCUUGUUCUCAAAUCAAAUAAGUUUUAUGGUCUUAUAAACACGAGUUCUCAGGUUGUACACCCAUUUCCUAGCUUGAGAAUCAUUGAUCUUUCGUACAACAAGUUUUCAGGUGCACUGCCAGAAAAAUAUUUCAGAAACUUCAAGGCUAUGAUGAAUGGUGAAGUGAAUAAGGUAAAUCGUAGUUAUAUGGAGCAGGAUCUUUACAGUGAUUCCACAGCUCUAGUGAUUAAAGGCAUGGAGAUUGAUUUAGAAAGAAUUUUGACUGUGUUCACAACUAUUGAUGUAUCAAAGAACAAUUUUGAUGGGGAGAUAGCUGAAUACUUUGGAAAUCUUGUAUCACUCAGAUUUCUUAAUCUUUCUCACAAUUAUCUCACAGGCCACAUACCACGCUCGAUUGGAAAAUUGACUGUGCUGGAGUCACUAGACCUCUCAUCCAACCAACUUCAAGGAGAAAUUCCUCCGCAGCUCACUAGUGUAUAUUCACUUGCAGUUCUCAAUCUGUCUUGCAACCAACUUAGAGGACGUAUUCCAGAAGGGUCGCAAUUCAAUACAUUUGAAAUCUACAGCUACGUCGGGAACUUUGGGCUGUGCGGAAAACCCUUGUCAAAAAAGUGUGAAAAUUAUGUCAGGGCACAAGAAGAAGACGAAGAAGAUGAGGAUGAUGAUUACUUUUUCAGUGGAUUUACUUGGGAAGCGGUGGUGAUUGGAUAUGGGUGUGGAGUGGUGCCUGCAUUUAUCACUGGCUACCUGAUGUUGUUGGCACGGAAACCAAAAUGGUUUGCUGGAAUCAUUGGCAGGGAACUGGGCCUGAAGAUCAGGAGGAUGGAGAUUAGAAGGCGAUAACUAAAGGUUUGCUGUAAUCUAUAUCCCAAUCUGUAGGUCUUGAAUAUUCAGUAAUAAUAUAUAUAGUAAUAUCUGCUAUCAUAUAAUUCUAUAUUUGCAGAUUGGAGAGGCAUGAACAUUUUGGCAUGCAAGUUGAUGGGACAAGCAGGAUUCAGAUGCACUGGAAUCAACCACUACUUCAGCUGUUUAAUUUGCAUCUUUUCUAAGUUACUCUGCACAUAUUCUAAGUUCCAUAUACAAGUUCUGUAAUGUUUAGUUAUUCUGCACAAACUCUAAGUUAGUUUCAACCACUGGGGUGUAAGCAGCCAAGUUAAUAAACCAGCAGUUUCUGCAGCUUUCACAACGUUGCUUCAUAUUAUUUUCCCCCUUAUUAGAUGAGCAAUAUAUUUGUGGAAUGGAUGUACCUGAAUUUGGUAUCCGAAGCUUAGUUAUAGAAAUUGUAGAUCAGCUAGUUUGCAACUUAGUGAGAAUGCUUUCCAUUGGACUUGAUUUACUCGUAGAGAAGCAGCACGCAAUGUUAAGGAAGGCCUGAUACAUAAUGUAUUCGAGGAAGUUUUGGAUUUCUUUUUAUUGAGAGUUUUUGCAAAACGUGGUUAAGAAAUUUGAGUUUUAAAAUUAGCUGUAAAAAGUAAUAGGUCAAUUGUAUUAGAUAUUUCAUGCAUUUGAGUUUUAAAAUUAGCUGUAAAAAAUAAUGGGUCAACGGCAACAGAAAUGAAUUGGUUUGGUUUCACCCGUAAGAGUUCUGCACUUCACACUCUAAAUUCCAGAAUUAAUAAAUUCAAGUCAUCUUUUAUGUCUUAGAGCAUCUCCAACCAUACAAAUUUCUUAACUAAAAAAUGAGGCAUUACAAAUAUAGAAAAUUAGUCAACUUGUUGAAAAAAUCAUAAAACCUGUAGUCUAUAAUUUUAGCCAACCUCUUACUAUAUUUGUCGAAUCUUUACAGAUCUACAAAUUUCUUACACGUUAUUUAUUACCAUAUUAAACUGAUAUAUUCUAUUUUAACAAACUAAAAUAUCAUUGAAGUACAAUGUCUUACAACUUCUGUAUAUAAUGUCUUACAAGUUCAAUUUAACCAACGAUUAUAGCCUACGAUGUUGCAAUGCUCUUAAGCCACUCUUUAUUAUUUUUGAUUCCAUAAUAAAUAAGUUUAAACUUUAAACUUUUUAUAUUUAAUAAAUUUAUAUAAUUAAUAAUAAUUUAAUUAUUAUUUUUUUAUUUGUAUUAAGUUUAAUUUAUAGAUACCUUUAUAUCAAAAAUACUAAAAUCAAUCAAAAUUUUAAUAUUUUGAUUCAGUAACUGGAAUAUAAAUAUAUCUAACUUUUGAAAUGAUAAAUAAAUAGUUUAUGAUUAAUAAAAAACUAGUAAGUAACUUGCACGAUUUCUCUUAUUUACAGUAAUAAAUCUCUUAUUAGCACUUUCAACUAAAUAUUUCUCCCAAACACUUAUAAUUUAUGUCCAAUUUUCAUAUUAUUUCCUUUAGAAAGACUGUUGUAUUAUUUUUAAUUUUAGUAAUUAGAUUAUUUUUAUAUAUAUAAAUUCCAAAUUUAAAAAACUUAAUAUUUUUGUCACGCUGCUUCUUAUAAUUUGUAAUACAAAUUAUUUCUAGAUAAAAUUAAUAUAUUAAUAAAAAUAGUGUAAACUCCAUAUAAUACAUUGAAAUUAAAUAAAUAUGCUCUGUACUUUUUUUUCACAUGCAAAAAACUGCACUGUUUCGGUUUAAGCAAAGCGUGAUAAUCAGGACUCCUAGCUGGAAUGGCGAGUAUUAUUCCUACGAAGAAGAUGAUGUUCAUGAUAUCCCUUCACCCCCAAAGACAAAGAAUUGGAGCAUGAAUUCUGAUUACUGCAUGUGGGAUGGAGUUAGCUGCGACGAGAAUACAGGGGACCUAAGGGGACUGGAUUUAAGCUGCAGUCAUCUGGUGCAUUGGAAUGAAAUUAUAGAACUUCUUCAGAGCCUGAUGCUCUCGAGGAUGCACUAAUGAACAAGCCUAAUGAUGAUCAUGAGUCAUAACUCCGUCCUAGAAUAAAGUAUCAUGAAACAUAUUUAGUAUUACAUUUUGUAUUAUUGGAAACUUGAUUUGAAACCGAAAUAGUUUGGUGGAAUCAUUGCCAGGGUAUUGGGUCCGAAGAUCGAGGAUGGAGAAUAAAUUGAUUUUGUUCAAAUAUUUAACACAACCCCAUCAUCAUUAUCCAUCACAAGCCCGGUCCAGUGUAGAGUUCUGGCAACUCCAUUUCUUGACACUUCUGUUGAAGUUGGCCUGUCUGGCAGACAAGAGGCCCUGUUUUAGAGGUGAUAUAUGCGCACAGGUCAAAAAUAUACUCCCUCCGUCCCACCAGAUUCUUUACAGUUUCCUUAUUUGGUCGUCCCACCCAUUUCUUUACAUUACAAAACUUUCUUAAAAUAGUUAAUGGGUCCCAACACUUUUCCACUUUUUCUCCCUUUUCACACUACUUUUACUCCACUAUCUCUUUAUUAUAUAUUAAAAAUCAGUGGGUCCCACCACUUCACCCACUUUUCUUUCUUUUUCCCACUACUUUAUACAUAUUUCUUAACCUCCGUGUCCAAACCCAAUGUAAAGAAUUGGGUGGGACGGAGGGAGUAUAUUUCUUCCAAUAGAUUACAUCUCUUUUCUUCAAAAUUUAUUGUAGUUUCAAAAUGUAGCAUUUGAGAACUCAUUCUCUUCACUUCUUAAAUACUUGGUCUUGGUCAAUACAAACACGAUUAAGACCGGUGUCAAUAUCACUCAUUAUUUUUCCACUCCUUUGAAUGGCAUUCUACAAUCCACAUAUCAGUACUCAGACUUUCACCAGUGAACCAUUAAUGCAUAGAUAAUUGAAGAAAGAAACUUCAACAUAUUUGCAUAUCUUUAUCCAUCUUUUUUUUCUAGUCAUCAACAGGCACAAGCUGUUAAUUUUUAUAUGUUCUUAAUUGGUAUAAGCAUUUAAGGUGCGUGUUGAUAUUUCUCACUAAUCUUCUUCUGCUCUAAGUGACAUAUUAUUACAAUCCACAAAUUAGUAGACAGACUAAUAUGGUUAGUUGAGACCAUCAAUCUGGAGAACAGACUAAUACAUGUGUAGUAAUCUGAUCAUCAUUUAUUUGAUUACAAUAGAAAUUCGGCUUUGUUUAGUUCCAUCCUCGGGCUCUUCAUUUCUAAACAUAUUUGCUGAUACUUUUUAUUGUACAAUUUAGAAUAUUCCAUAAAAUUUUAAAUUCGGUGCUAGAUGAUUUUAUGUCCUGUUUUCAUUCCAUUCAUGAACUAAUGAAAAUUUUGAAAUUGGGUCAUAUUAGGCAGUGAUGCCACCUUUCUGGACCUGCAUUUCAUGGCCACAAACUCCUAUUGUGCCAAAAAAUUCCAGCUGUUUGGUGAGAUUUUUCUACGUGCUCUUUUGUUCGGACUUGUUUGCUGAAUCCCACAAUAGACAAUAUUGAUGUUAACAACUCUUGCGUCAGUUACUAGACUUGUCAGUAGCCCAUUCUUUACGGCAGACGUGGAAUUUACUUGAAGAAAUGAAGGUGUAAGAAAGUUGAGAACAUUUUGUUGAUUAUUUCCUUCCCCAGAAACUGCACUCCAGCAUCAAAGUACCUUUCAAAGACUCCAGCAUCAUUUCUUGAUUAUCAAAGUCUUCGUCUUUGUCAUCUCCUGCUCUGAAAGUGCUUCUAUUGCAGACCACAUAUUAGUAGACAGACUACUAAAAUUCAUCUAAAAUGACCUCUCUGCGUGGGCUCUUUUGAACAAUCAGGGUUGGACAUGAUUCUACACGCAUCAGAGAAAAACUAUCAGCUGGCUAAAAACCUCUCUGCAUCAACUCUAUUGAGAAAAGAAACUAUGGCUCAUACAGUUUAAGUUGAUACCAAAUCGUAAAUGAGAAUACUUGCAGUUUUAAAUUACUGCACGCUAUUUUUUCAACGAAAAUAUGUGCAGUUUUAACAUAGUCUAAUUAUUUUCUUGAUGACGGCUCUGCAAAUUGUGAUAGUUGAAAAUCUUUUUAUCGUCUUUGACAAGCAUCAAGGAAAUGCAGGAAGGUUAUUUAUCAGCUGAUUAAUCUCUUUCUUUGUCUCUGAAAAUCCUUACAUUAGAUCUGUUGAGAGUCUUUACUGGGGAUAAUCUUCUGUCACUGGAUCUGUUGAGGUAACUUUGGGACAAAGUACUGUCUCUAUUACAUGGAAGUUUGAACUGUUUCAUAUUUUUUAGACAACUAAAUGCACUUACAAACUCGACUUGUGUUUGAAAAGGUUCAGACACUCGAACCUUGAAAAGAACGAGAGAGAUAUUAUUGGAUCAAGAGAUCUUUAGUCAGGUCUAGUGCUUUCUUAAAUUAAUUUCCUAAAGUUUCAGUUAAGAUGUGAACCAAAGCUCUUGGUGGUGGUUCUCAUUGCUCUCUUUGUUCCAAAUUAAACUUAAAAAUUGUUGUGUGAUCCCAAGUUGCGGGUUUACUGAUGAGAAUAAUAAAUAUUCAACUGAUGAUACCGAAGCAGCAGCAUACUGCAAUUUCUUGUAAUAAUCAAAAGUGCGAGUACUUAUAAAGAAACUUAUACCUAUAAAGCUGUAGAAACCAAUGGUAAGCAUAACUGCAUAUAAGAUACAAAACUAAAUUUAAUACAAGACUUGUUCUAAGCAUUGGAAAAUAUAAUUCAUCCUGGUCUUCAUCUUCUACUGCUCCAAAUAUGCUUUUAUUGCAGCCAAUGUAUUAGUGAAAAGAAUUAAAUUUAAAUUAAUUGUAGACCGCAAAUAUAAGAUUAUGAGAGUUUCUACAACCCACAAAUUAGUAGACAGACUAAUAUGGUUAGUUGAGACCAUCAAUCCGGAGAAACUGUUUCUAAAAUGACCCAUCUGUAUGAAUUAAUGAAGAAAGAAACUUAUACCUACAAUGUAAAGGAAAUGGUCACGAGUAUAUUGCAUUUUUAAUCCAAAUUGUAUAUGAUUCUAUCUGUGCUACUGAUAGUAAAUAAUAAAUCUACCACGGGCCUUGUAGUUAAUCAAGGUAUUUAACUCUACCUUUCUACAUUGUUGAAUAGUUUGAAUAAAAUAAUUGUAAUAAAAUUUUUUCUGGUGCUGUGUGAGUUUAUCAAAGCUAAUCUCGGUGAGAAAUUAACUAAAGCCCUUGGAAUUAGUAAAUAAAAACUCUGGGGAGUGAAAUUAAAAGUCUGAGUACAAGGCAAUGAGCAGGAAACAGCAUAAGGAGUUUACAACUUGAAGUUUCUAUUCUCCUCCGGUCUUUUUGUGAAAAUCAAGUGGCCAUUGAUACAGUUAAAAAUGGCAGGACUACACAUAAUAAAUCACACAGUCGCUUUAUGAGAGAGGAAAAAUGUCAGGACUGCAAUGCAUUUCUAGCCCAUUUUGUACAGCAGCUCAAACGUUUAAAAAACUUCAUUAAUUAUUUUCUUUUAUUGAAACCCACACUCAUCCAUCAAAGUAGCUCUCAAAGACUAAUUUCCAUCACCUUUUGAUUCUCAAAGUCUUCUUCUUCGUCUUCUACUGCUCCAAAAGUUCUUACAUUGCACGCCACAUAUUAGUAGACAUAUACUUGAUCUUGAUGUACAAUGUUAUGUUAUGAUGCUAAUAACCCUCUGCAGGGGUUAUUAAAGAAAGCAACUUAUAGUUUAAGUUGCUGAACAUUUGUGUGUGCCAAAUUUAAUUUCACACAUCAUUACUAGAUUUACACAUGGUAUUAGACAUCAGUACUAGUAUAAGAUGUUAAUCAAGUUUUUGAAUUUCUUUUAUUUCAGAUAACAAGUUUAAUUUUUUUUUUGUGGAAUUAAUUAUUUAUAUCACGCAUUUGAGCUUUAAAAUUAGCUCUAAAUAAAAGUUGAUUUUCGCUCAAAGAAACAAUGAUGUAUAAGAAGAUUUUCAGAACUGAAUUAUUUCUUUCAUUUUUACAAGUUCCAUUCAAGAACCGAAAGUAGCUCACAAAGACUCACUACAUCAUCUUUCAAUUCUCAUAGUCUUGGUCUUUGUCUUCUGCUGCUCAAAAAUUCUAUUACAGCCCACAUAUCAGUAUCAUAAACCUAAUUAUGAAUAGUAUUUAACACUAAACACAAUUGAAGAUUUGUCUCACAGACUUACUUCCAUCACCUUAUGGUUCUCAAAGUCUUCGUCUUCUAAUGCUCCAAAAGUUCUAUUAGUGCAGGCCACAUAUUAGUAAACAGACUACAAUUCAUCCAAAAUGACCCCUCGUAUUGGACACUUUGAACACCUCUGUCUGUAUAUGCAUUGGAGAAGAAUUAUCAGCUAGUUAAAAUAAGGGAAAUUCUUCAUGGUACACUCAUAAAAUUGGCUUUUCUCAAUGGUACCAUCCCAUUUUUGACUGGUACCAGUGGUACCCUCGUACUUUGAAUCUACUCUCUAUGGUACACUCGUGUACUUUUGAUCUAAAAUUGGAUGUAAAAGUUGUUUAGAGACGGGUAUUUUGUCUAAGUUUGUAUUUAAUCAUCAGGUAUUUGGUCUUUUAGUCAGACUGUGGCUCAUACAGUUUGAAGUUGAUAUCAAAUCUUAGAUGAGAGUGUUUGCAGUUUUAUAUUACUGAACAUUUUUUCUUGAAUUCGAUAUCGAAUUUUAAACGAAAAUAUGUGCAGUUUUAAUUUGAAAGUUAUGCAAAUUACAUUAAUAAUAUCAUCUAUUUUGAGUCUCUUGGUCUUCGGUCUUCUAUUGCAGCAUAUCAUAUACUUCUCAAAUGAUUGAAAAUGAACUCUCUCCAAAAGACAAGGGGGUCUAUCGAAGUAGACCUGCAAUUGAUUUUACUUGAAGAAACAAUAAUACUCCAGUUCACUUCUUAAAGUUUUGGUCGUCUUUUAUCUCUCAAAGUCUUGAUCUUUGUCGUUUACAUCUCAAACAAUUUUCCAUCGUAUUGAACACUUCACACAAUUCCAUCGUAUUGAACACUUCACACAAUUCCAUGCUAUCGUAUCAAACACUUCACACAAUUCCAUAAAAUUGAAGAUUUUUGACGAGAUGUUUUAACUAUGAGUUCUUCAAAUUAUUGCUUGUAAGGCCCGCGACAUUUUAGAGAGUCACCAAAGCUUUGGCCUGUGGAUUAAGUUGAUGAAAUCUAAUGCAUCGGAAUCAAUGACAACACUAUUUUAGGGGCUUGAUGCUCUUAAUAUUAUUCAUUCCGCUCAUAAAUUUCAAGUGGAGAGUGGAGAAGAAAGAGCAUCGUGAUUGUCACGGUACCCUUACUUAAAAUUUGUUCGAUUAGGUUUUUUUACGUAGUUUGCGCUUGGUCAUCUAGGUAGGCCUUCAUUAUAUUAACCCACUCGCAUGUCUUCAGCCACUCUUGUAAUUUCAUUAGGGCUGUCAAAAAAGUCCGAAAAAUCCGAUAUCCGUCCGAAAAAUCCGCAUUCGUAUCCGAGAUAAAGCGGAUAUUAUCCGUAUCCGAGACAAAGCGGAUAUUAUCCGCAUCCGAAUCCGACAAUUCCGGAUACGGAUACAGGCAUAUUUGUAUCCGAUAAUAUCCGAAUCCGAAAUUAAAUAUAUAUAUGAUAUUAAAUAUUAUAUAUGUAUAUUAUUAGUAUUAUUCAAUAACUAUAUAAUGUGUGUAUUUAUAUAUGUAUACAUAAAAUAAUAUAUUUAUAUAAAUUUUGUAUAAUUUUAAAAUAUUAUAGACAUAUAUCAUAAUUUUAUUUGAGUUUGAUAUUCUAAAGAUAACAAAUUUAUAUUGAAAGAUAAAUAAGAAUUAAUUUUUGAAUUAAUAUAAACUUUAUUUAAUGAUUUUAAUUUUUUUACUCAGUUUUUAAAAAUUAAACUUUAAUUUUUACUAUUUUUUAUGAUUUUUUAGAAAUUUUAAUAAAAAAAUAAAAUUUCUGAUUAAAAAUCAGAUUCGGAUCCGGAUAUUAUCCGAAUCUGGAUAAUAUCCAUCGGAUCCGGAUUCGGAUAUCAUCCUUUAAAAUAUUUCGGAUUCGGAUCCGGAUACGGAUAUGGAUUUUCGGAUUCGGAUCCGGAUACAGGCAGAUCCGUAUCCGAAUUAUCCGUUUGACACCCCUAAAUUUCAUAUUAAACAAAUUUAAAUUUCUUACAUAAAUUUGUAAAAAUAAUAAAUUUUUUCUUAUUUAUGAUAUUAAUAAAUCUCUUACUCUCUUAUUACUGUAUUCAACUAAUUAUUUUUUCCUAACAGUUAUAAAUGUAUCACAUCAGUUAUGAAAUUUAAAACAAAUAUGUCCAAUUUUUUCGAGAAAGAUGGUUGUAUAAUUUUUAAUUUAAAAUUUUAAUUAUUUUUAUUUUCAAUAUAAUUUACAACUAAAUUUUUUUUAUUAUAAUUUCACUGCUUCAUAUUUGUAAUAAAAUUAAAUAUAUCAUAAAUACACUUUUUUCUAUAUAUAUGCUAACCUCUAGAGAUGUUAAAGAUCAUCCCAAACAAAAUUUGAAAGCGAAAAUGAAAAUGAAAAAUUCCGUACUCUGUUUUUUCACCAUCAGUGUGAUGCUCAUCUUCUUGCAGUUGCAGCACCACCUGGUGGCUUCUUCAUUGAGCCCCAGCUUGCAGAAACUUGCGUUGUUCGACUUUAAACAAACCUUUUCAAUCAGUAAUGAUCCUAAUAGCUGGAUAUGCUCCUAUUAUUCCGUCGAAGACGAAGAGUUUUACGAAAUUCCUUCUCGGCCAAAGACAAAGAAUUGGAGCAUGAGUUCUGAUCACUGCACAUGGGAUGGAGUUAGCUGCGACGACAAGACAGGGGAUGUUAUCGGACUGGAUUUAACUUGCAGUCAGCUGCAAGGAGCCAUUCUUCCUAACAACACUCUCUUCCAGCUCUCUCAUCUCCGCUUCCUCAAUCUUUCUCAAAACGACUUUUCCCAUUCCAACCAGUUCCCUCAGGAAUUUGGUUUCUUUGCAAAAGGUUUGAAGCAUCUCAACCUCUCUUAUACUGGAUUAUCAGGGAGAGUUCCCUUGGGAAUCUCUCAUUUGCAGAAACUGGUCUCACUUGAUCUCAGUUACAACUCUGAAGCUGAACUUAAAGAAGAAGUGUUUAAAUCAAUGUUGCAGAAUUUAACUCAUCUCAGAGUGCUUAAUCUUAAUUACGCUAACAUCUCCUCUGUUUUGCCCGUGAAUAUCUCUGCUUCUUUAAGAGUUCUUCAAUUGUGGGGUACUGGUAUAGACGGAGUAGUACCCCAAGAGGUUUUCCACCUUCCCAACUUGGAAUCACUUGAUUUAUCAAGUAAUUACGACCUGAGAGCUACAUUACCCAAAGUUAAGUGGGGAAGUAAUGCUACUCUCCAACACCUUGUUCUUAAAUACAUCAACAUAGAUGGAGGUAUACCUGAUUCAAUAGGCUUUUUGGAGUCGUUGGGCAGUUUGGAUCUGAGCCGUUGUAAUUUGUCUGGGCCGAUUCCAAGAUCCAUCGGGCACCUCAUUCAACUUACUACAUUGGUCCUCUCUGAAAAUAAUCUCAAUGGCCCAAUUCUAACUUUUCUUACAGACCUUAAAGACUUGAGAUAUAUCUCCCUUGAGCGUAACAAUUUUACGGGUUCGUUUCCCUCUUUUCUUGCCCACUCCAGUAAACUAGUUGUGAUGUAUCUUGAUAGUAAUAGCUUUACUGGAUCCCUACCCAGUUGGUUGUUUCACCCUCCAUCGUUAGAGACCUUGUAUCUGCAUAAUAACGCAUUCACGGGUCAACUACAUGAAUUUCAUUCUUCUCACUCACGGCUGCAAUCUUUUUGGUGUAACAACAAUUUACUCUACGGAUCCAUUCCACAUUCAUUUUCUCAACUUGUGAAUCUCACAUCCCUAGAUUUGUCAUCAAACAAUUUCAGCGGGGUUUUGGAUUUGGAAAUGUUUUCAGGCCUCAAAUUUCUAAGAAGUCUUGAUCUUUCUCAUAACAGUCUGUCAGUGAGAAGUACAAUCAUGUCUACUCUCCCUCCUAAACUUAACCACUUGGGCUUGUCAUCUUGCAACAUGAAAGAGUUUCCUCACUUUUCAAGAGAUGCAAACAUCUCCAUGGAUUUUAUAGACCUAUCAAACAAUAAAAUUGAAGGGGAAAUUCCACACUGGAUUGGGUCGCUGGGGAGGUACUCUGACACUUACAGCUCCUAUCUGAAUCUUUCUCACAACAAACUAAUAGGCGGUCUUGAGCAACUGCCUUGGGGUUAUAUUACUUAUCUUGAUCUCCAAUACAAUAAGCUGGAUGGAUCGUUGCCCACCUUGAUGUGUAGUUCCACCUCUCUUCAUAUUCUAAAUCUGUCUCACAACAAAUUGAGUGGUGUACUACCCAGUUGUCCUCCACAUAGGAAUAUUCUUUCAGUGUUGGAUCUGCGGAGGAAUAAAAUUCAAGGAAACAUUCCAGCAACCUUGUCAAAUUUCUAUAAUCUGGAAACCAUUAAUUUGAAUGGAAACCAAUUAGAAGGAGGCAUUCCUUCUUCUUUUGCUGAAUUUGAUUCAUUAGCCGUUCUUGAUCUUGGAAAUAAUCAGAUAAAUGAUACAUUCCCCCGGUGUUUGGAAGCUCUUCCAAAUCUCCAAGUUCUUGUUCUCAAAUCAAACAAGUUUUAUGGUCUUAUAAACACGAGUUCUCAGGUUGUACACCCAUUUCCUAGCUUGAGAAUCAUUGAUCUUUCGUACAACAAGUUUUCAGGUGCACUGCCAGAAAAAUAUUUCAGAAACUUCAAGGCUAUGAUGAAUGGUGAAGUGAAUAAGGUAAAUCGUAGUUAUAUGGAGCAGGAGGAUUAUUACAGGGAUUCCACAGCUCUAGUGAUUAAAGGCAUGGAGAUUGAUUUAGAAAGAAUUUUGACUGUGUUCACAACUAUUGAUGUAUCAAAGAACAAUUUUGAUGGGGAGAUAGCUGAAUACUUUGGAAAUCUUGUAUCACUCAGAUUUCUUAAUCUUUCUCACAAUUAUCUCACAGGCCACAUACCACGCUCGAUUGGAAAAUUGACUGUGCUGGAGUCACUAGACCUCUCAUCCAACCAACUUAAAGGAGAAAUUCCUCCGCAGCUCACUAGUGUAUAUUCACUUGCAGUUCUCAAUCUGUCUUGCAACCAACUUAGAGGACGUAUUCCAGAAGGGUGGCAAUUCGAUACGUUUGAAAACAGCAGCUACGCUGGUAACUUUGGGCUGUGCGGACAUCCCUUGUCGAAAAAGUGUGAAUCUUAUGUUAAAACACAAGAAGAAGACGAAGAAGAUGAGGAUGAAUGUCACUUUUUCAGUGGUUUUACUUGGGAAGCGGUGGUGAUUGGAUAUGGGUGUGGAGUGGUGCCUGCAUUUAUUAUUGGGUACCUGAUGUUGCUGGCACAGAAACCAAAAUGGUUUGCUGGAAUCAUUGGCAGGGAAUUGGGCCUGAAGAUGAGGAGGAUGGAGAUUAGAAUGCGAUAACUAAAGGUUUGCUGUAAUCUGUAUCCCAUUCCCAGGUCUUGAAUAUUCUGUGAUAAUAUAGUAAUAUCUGGUCUCAUAUAAUUCUAUAUUUGCACCUGUAGACGUUUACAGAUUGGAGAGGCAUGAACAUUUUGGCAUGCAAGUUGAUGGGAAAAGCAGGAUUCAAAUGCAUUGGAAUCAACAACUGCGGUGUUGUAGGCAGCCAAGUUAAUAAACCACUACUUCAGCUGUUUUGCAUCUUCUGUGAUUUUAAAUUUUACAUUUUACAAUAUAAGUCAAAAGAUACAAGUUCAAUAUACAAGUUUUGUUUUGUUUAGUUCCAGCCUAUAAACACUUCAGUAGAUACCAGAGGAGAAAUGGAUACAAUCAAUGUCGGAAUUGGUCUUUAUAGUUGAAACAAAGACUACCAGAUCAUUACCAAUAUCAACUAGGCAUGUUGUUUAACGGGGAACUCAUAACUGGACAAUAAUUUUAAUAAUUUAGAAUUUGUGUAAUUUAUUACUGGUCUAAAGGACACGGGAUGGGUUUGCAAUAGUUAUUUGGAAACAGCUUGCUUAGAUAAAUGGACAGUGUUUUAUAAUAAUAGAGUCCGGGGCCUAUCAAGUGAUUGUUAGAGCAAUUUAUCUACUGUUUUUUAUAGCGGAAAAACAUAAACACUUGGUUUUUUAGUGCAUGCAGAGGGUCCAUCAGUCCAUCCGCAAUUUACACACUCAUUAUUCCAGGAUUCUCUGUUUCAUGGUAUUCUGCUGUGUAAAGAACAAUCACUUGUCAGGACCACCUCCCAUAAUCACAAGAGAUUCUAUAGGAAAAGAAGCAACAGACAUGGUUGGAUUGUUUGUUUUCUGUAUUCUUCUGCUAAAAGGCUACCCUUUUAAAGUCUCUUUUAUAUAUAAAGAUACAAAAAAAAAAAAAAAAAUCAUACUAAUAAAGAUUCUUUUUGGCUCCUCCAGAACUGGCCAGUUUUUCCUUAACUUUGCUUCUCCCACAUAAGACUAUAAGAAUAUUACAAUGAAAUAGUUGAUUAUCGUUGAACUUGCCAAUCUGUUGACUUGGUAAUUUGAAUUUGAUAAGCUCUGAAUUGUAAGUAACGAGGAACAAGAUGACAUGAUGGUAAAUAGAAAAUACAAGAUGUCCAUCAACAUAGCAAAGAAAUAUUUUUCAGCCGGACGACAUAUCAGGAUGUUCAUUACUAAAACAUGUUUGCUGAUGCUUUAUAAUGUACAAUUUACAAUAUAUCACAGGUUGUAAUAUACACUACUAGAUGAUUUUAUGGCCUGUUUAUCCUUAAUCGCUAUCAUGAACUAAUGAAAAUUUAUAAAAGUGGAUCACAUUUGCAGUGAUGCCGCUAUUUUUCCUGAAUUUCCCUAGUUGUGAAGAUUCCCUAGUUGUGAAGAUUGUCUAAAUCAUGUUAGAGUCGCUGCCAUCAGUGAAUGCAUUCAAUGGCUUACUGAAACUGGUAGAGAUACUAAAUUGCAAGAUGACAGAGUGUCCAUGCGUCAUUUUAAGGAUCAAGAUGUGUAGCUGUGACUUGUAUUUUAAAAUUGCAAGAUGUUUUACAAUGGUAGCAGAGGAGGGCUGGGGAUUUAUUGGGUCAGUUCGAAGCACACAAGUAGAAUUGGUUGUGGCAGAGCAAGAAGCUGAGCACGACCAUAAGAAUUUGAACUCUGAGGCUAAUUUGACUCUACUUGUACAAGUUAAUAUAUGAUGGCACAAGUUAAUAUAUGAUGGCAGCAAAGGAGUUUCUUACAUGCGCCAGUUUACAGUUCUUAGAAACAUCUUAUUAUGCUUAUUUGUACUAAACAGAUAUUAGUAGUCCACCAGAAACAAGGAGAUUUGAUAUAUCCCGGACUCUGAGGCCGGUGACAGUCUAUGAGAGGGCAUGUAAUCGAUGGAACAAGGAGGAUUCAGAUACAUUGGAUUCAUUAACAGAACUUCUUCAGAGCCGGAGUCACUUCCAGAUGCUCUCUUCUGGUAGAUAUCUAUUGGAGAAGUAAAAACAUCUCAUAAUCAUCAUUCAGCACUUGCUCUGAGUUUGUUGAUCAACCAUGCGAUGUUGAAGGCAGCUCUUAUCUUAUCUGCAAUCAAGUUAAUGAACCACCACCUCAGUUGUUAAGCAUCUUUCACCAUUUUACAUUUUACAACUCACAAUAAAAGAUUACAUGUGUAUUAAUCUGAUCAUCAUUUGUUUGAUCAAUAUAGAAGUUCGGCUCUGUUUACUUCUAUCCCUGGCUCUUCAUUUCUAGAACAUUGUUGAUACUUUUUAUUGAAUGGUUAAGAAUAUUCCAUAGAUUUUUAUAUUCAGUGCUAGAUGAUUUUAUGUCCUGUUUUCAUUCCAUUCAUGAACUAAUUAAAAAUUUGAAAGUGAUGCCCACCUUUCUGGACCUGCAUUCCAUGACCACAAACUCCAAUUCUGCCCAAAAAUUGCAGCUGUUUCGUAAUAUUUUUCUACGUGUUCUUUUGUUUGGACUUGUUUGCUGGACCAUGCAUAUUGUUUUGAUACAAACAUCUUUGUUGAUGUUAACACUCAUUGUUAGUAGCCCAUUCUUUACGGCAGACAUUGAAUUGGAUUUACUUGAAGAAAUGAAGGUUUAAGAAAGUUCAGAGCAAUUUGUUGAUUAUUUCCUUCCCUAGAAACUGCACUCCAGCAUCAAAGUACCUUUCAAAGACUCUACACAUAAUCUCUUGAUUAUCAAAGACUUGGUCUUGCAUAUACUGAUAUACACUGAAUAUAGGUUUCUUUCAUUUCCUUGAAAUUGCAUUUUUCGAAGUAACUCUCCAGACUCAUUCCCGUCACUUCUCAAAGUCUUAGUCCUCAUCAAUACAUUCACAUAAUAUCACACCAAUUUGCUCAUGCUCAGAUGGGCUUUUCUUACAAACCACAUAUGUUCACUUCUCAGAGUCUUAGUCCUCGUCAAUGUAUAGAGAUAAUAUCUCACCAUUUGCUAGUGCUACAAAUCAGUUUCUCCUACAACCACACAUAAUCGGAGAAAAGUCUGUCAAGUGUCAAGUGGACUUGAAAGACCCUUCUGCAUGGAUUAUUGUAUGUCAUGAAUGCCUUCUGAUAUCCCUGAAAGUGCAAGCAAGUUAUAAAAGUAGCUGGGCAGACUCUUUCUCAUCAAUACAUUCACAUUCAAAGCGGGCGUUGAUAUGCCUCCCUAAUUUUCUAAUGCCCUAGACGGAAUUCUAUUACAAUCCACAUAUGAUGGGUAGCGAUCAUCAAUUCAAAGAAGACACUAUCAGCAGCUUGCAGGAAAUGACCCCUCUGCAUGGAUUAUCGAAGAAAGAAACUUAUACCUAUAAAGCUGUAGAAAACCAAUGGUAAGCAUAACUGCAUAUAAGAUACAAAACUAAAUUUAAUACAAGACUCGUUCUGAGCAUUGGAAAAUAUGCUUUUAUUGCAGCCAAUGUAUUAGUGAAAAGAAUUAAAUUUAAAUUAAUUGUAGACUGCAAAUAUAAGAUUAGGAGAGUUUCUACAACCCACAAAUUAGUAGACAGACUAAUAUGAUUAGUUGAGACCAUCAAUCUGGAGAAACUGUUUCUACAAUGACCCAUCUGUAUGAAUUAUUGAAGAAAGAAACUUAUACCUACAAUGUAAAGGAAAUAAUCACGAGUAUAUUGCAUUUUUAAUCCAAAUUGUAUAUGAUUCUAUCUGUGCUACUGAUAGUAAAUAAUAAAUCUACAACGGGCCUUGCAGUUAAUCAAGGUAUUUAACUCUACCUUUCUACAUUGUUGAAUAGUUUGAAUAAAAUAAUUGUAAUAAAUUUUUUGCUGGAUGCUGUGUGAGUUUACCAGAGCUUAUCUUGGUGAGAAGUCUGAGUACAAGGCAAUGAGCAGGAAACAACAUAGGGAGUUUACAACUAGAAGUAUCUAUUCUCCCCUAGUCUUUUUGUGAACAUCAAGAGGCCAUUCAUUUUGCUCACAAACCAGUUAAAAAUGGCAGGACUACACAUAAUGAAUCACGCAGUCACUUUAUGUGAGAAAAGAAAAAUGUCAGGACAGCAGCUCAAACGUUUAAAAAACUUCAUUAAUUAUUUUCUUUUAUUGAAACCACACUCAUCCAUCAAAGUAGCUCUCAAAGACUAAUUUCCAUCACCUUUUGAUUCUCAAAGUCUUCUUCUUCGUCUUUUACUGCUCCUAAAGUUCUUCCAUUGCAAGCCACAUAUUAGUAGACAUACUACAUCAACUCUGUGGAAAGAAACAAUCUAUACUUGAUCUUGAUGUACAAUGUUAUGAUGUAAAUGUAUAAUAUCAAAAUUAGGAAUAGUAGUCACGCGCUAAUUAAUAACCCUCUGCAGGGGUUAUUAAAGAAAGCAACUUAUAGUUUAAGUUGCUGAACAUUUGUGUGUGCCAAAUUUAAUUUCACACAUCAUUACUAGAUUUACACAUGGUAUUAGACAUCAGUACUAGUAUAAGAUGUUAAUCAAGUUUUAUAAUUUCUUUUAUUUCAGAUAACAAGUUUUUUUUUUUGUGGAAUUAAUUAUUUAUAUCAUGCAUUUGAGCUUUAAAAUUAGCUCUACAUAAAAGUUGGUCUAUUGCAGUAGACACUAAAAUGAUUUCGCUCAAAGAAACAAUGAUGUAUAUGAAGAUUUUCAGAACUGAAUUUCUUUCUAUUUCUAAAAAUUGCAUUCAAGAACCGAAAGUAGCUCACAAAGACUCAUUACAUCAUCUUUCAAUUCUCAUUGUCUUGGUCUUUGUCUUCUACUGCUCAAAAUUCUAUUACAGCCCACAUAUCAGUAUCAUAUACCUAAUCAUAAAUAGUAUUUAAUAUUUAACACAAUUGAAGAUUUGUCUCAGAGACUUACUUCCAUCACCUUAUGGUUCUCAAAGUCUUCGUCUUCUAAUGCUCCAAAAGUUCUAUUAGUUCAGGCCACAUAUUAGUAAACAGACUACAAUUCAUCCAAAAUGACCCCUCUUAUUGGACACUUUGAACACCUCUAUCUGUAUAUGCAUUGGAGAAGAAUUAUCAGCUAGUUAAAAUAACCUCUUCGCAUCAACUCUAUCGAAAGAAGCAAUUCAUACCUAAAGUACAAUGUUUGGAUAAAAUCAGGAAUAGCAACUGCACGCUAAUUUUUUAGUUGAAGCAGGCUACCUUGGUGUAAUUCAGUGAACAUCCCCGUAAUUUCUUGACAGGCCACAAUUAAGGAAGUUCACAGAAUUAAAUUCCAGAAGUAGCUCCCUGAGACAGAUUUGCAUCAUCUUUCCAUCCUCAAAGUUCUUUACACUUAUAUUAUAUUUCAUGUUUUAUUGUAAUGAACAUAGCAGUUUCCUGUUCAGUAAUAUUCCAGGCUCAGGUUCUUCAUUCCUAGUCUCUGUUACAUGUUUGCCACUAAAACGUAUUGAACAGUUAUUAGUUUAUGAUUGUAUUCCAUCUUGAAAGGAGAUCUCAAAGACUCAUUCCCAUAAUCUUAAGAAUCUCAAGUCUUGAUGAACUUGGCCUUCAUCAUAUUUGUACUCUUGUAAUUCCAUAUUAAUGAAGUUUAAAUAUUUAUUUCAAAAAAAAAUGAAGUUUAAAUAUUAAAAUUUUUAAUUUUAGUAAAUUUGUAAAAAUAGUAAAAUUUGUCUUAUUUAUAAUAUUAAUAAAUCUCUUACUUUCUCGUUACUGUAUUCAACUUAAUAAUUCUUACAAACACUUGUAAGUGCAUCACAUAAGUUAUGUAAAUUCAGAAUAAAUUAUGUCCGAUUUCUUUAAGAGAGAUUGUUAUAUUGUUUUUACUUUAAAAAUUGAAUUAUCUUUUAUUUUUAAUAUAAUUUACAACUAAAAAAUAUUUAAUAUAUUUUCUUAUUUUUGUAAUAUGACUAAACAUAUCUUAAAUACACCUUUUUCCUAUAUAUAUAUAUAUAUACAUCUAUUAUAUUUUUUAUGAAAUAUAAUUACAAAUUUUGAUUAUUAAACCGAAAACGAAGUUAUACAAUUUUUUUAUUUCAAAGAUCAUCUAAUAUAUCAUGUAAUAUCUCAACAUGAUUCUAUAACAGAAUAAUAAUCAUUCAGAAUUAUUCUGUUGUAGAAUCAGUUUCGAAACUAUACUUUUUUUUAUCAAAUUUUAAGUGUUAAAUUACUUAAAAUAGAUAUAUUUUAUAGUAUUCUAUAUUAGAAUCACGUUUUAUAUGUAUUUUAUAGCAGAAUUUAUAAUAAAAUUGAUGAUUUAUAAUGCCGCACUAUGUAACUUCAUAUAAAGAGUCCCUUUCUGGAAUGUUGGCAUAUAUAUAUACUAGCUUAAAACCCGUGCAAUGCACGGGCGGUUAUGAUAUUUAUUAUUUUAUCGUAUAUAUUCCAGAUUUAACUAAUUUUAUUGAAAUUAAAAUUGUGAUAGAAUAAUGUGAUUAAAUAAAACAUUUAUUUAACGACUGAAAAAUUCUUAAUAGUUAAAUCCGUCAAAUAGCUAAUUUAAAAUUAAGUCAAAUAUAUAUUUUAAUAAAAAUGUUAAAAUAUAUUAUAUUUUUUAUAUGUUAUAAUUCAAGAAGACACAUAAACCUAGAUAUAAACAACCCAAUCAACCUUUUAAUAUUUUGUUAUUAAUAAUAUAGAACAAAUCCUUAAAAUAGAAUCAGAUAAGUAUAAAACAUAUUGUAAGCUAAAGGGAAGUGUACUGAUCCAUAACACUAACCUAAUUUAUUUAUUUUUAAACAGCACUAACCUAAUUUAUAAAUUAAGGAGGUCCAUGGAUCAAAUAUGAACCGGUUUAUAAAACUCGACCGACCAACUGAACUUUUCAGUUUAUGUUUUAAUAGUACAAUAAUAUAUAGUAUAGUAUAGAUUUGUAAUUUUAACUUUUAAAUUUAGAUCAGUAGAGCAUUUAAAGUAACGUUAAUAUAUUUUGAUCGACAAAUAUCGCCAUUUAUUUAAUAAUAUUGUUAUAUUUUUAUAUAUAUGUCGCCCGUGUUAAUUGUAGUAGAUCAAUUUUUUCAGUCAGUAAAUCUUAAAAAAAAAAUGUGUUUUAGUUAAAAAGGUAAUUACUAUUGCUCGAUGUUAUUUUAGAAAAUUGUGUUUUUUUAGUUAGAAAAUAUAAAAAAGAUAACAUAUUCUAGUUUAAAAGAAUAUUUAGUUAUAUAGAUAGGCCUGUAUUUCGGCCCAAAGUUAAAAAGAAUACUCCCUCCGUCCCCUCCAAUUCUUAUCGUUUGGAAUGGAGUGCUCGGCACGCAUUUUAAGACUCAUAUAAAGUAUAGUUCCAUAACUCAUUUUCAUAAUUCUCUUUUUCUGAAUAAAAAUUUAAACAUUACAUUUUUAUUUAAAAAAAGAAAAUUUUAAAAAUAAGUUAUGGAACUAUACUUUAUAUAAGCCUUAAAAUGCGUGCCGAGCACUCCAAUCCAAAUGAUAAGAAUUGGAAGAGACAGAGGGAGUAAUUAGUUAUGUCGAUAGACCCGUAUUCGGUCCAAUUACUUACAUACCAUAACUUUCAAUUUUCGAUUUUAAUAAUAUAGUAAACCUUAAAAAAGAUAAUGUAUUUUAGUUAAAAAGGUAAUAACUAUAUUGUUCGAUGUUAUUUUAUAAAAUUGAGUUUUUUAGUUAGAAAAUAUAAAAAAGAUAACAUAUUAUAGUUAAAAAGAAUAAUUAGUUAUAUAAAUAGGCCUUAUUUCGGCCUAAAGUUAAAAAUAAUAAUUGGUUAUAUAGAUAGGCCCGUAUUUCGGCCCAAAUUUUGACCGAUCAAACUUUCAAUGUUCGUAAUUACUGUUGCUCGAUGUUAUUUUAGAAAAUUGAGUUUUUUUAGUUAGAAACUUUAAAAAAGAUAACAUAUUCUGGUUUAAAAGAAUAAUUAGGUAUAUCGAUAGGCCUGUAUUUCGAUUUUCGGCCCAAAGUUAAUAAGAAUUAUUAGUUAUGUCGAUAGGCCCGUAUUCGGUCGAAUUACCGACAUACCAAACUUUCAAUUUUUUAUUUUAAUAGUAUAGUGAACCUUAAAAAAGAUAACGUAUUUUAGUUAAAAAGGUAAUAACUAUAUUGUUCGAUGUUAUUUUAGAAAAUUGAGUUUUUCUAGUUAAAAAAUAUAAAAAAGAUAACAUAUUAUAAUUAAAAAAAUAAUUAGUUAUAUAAAUAGGCCUUAUUUCAGCCCAAAGUUAAAAAUAAUAAUUAGUUAUAUAGAUAGUCCCGUAUUUCGGCCGAAAUAUCGACCGAUCAAACUUUCAAUGUUUCAGUUUUAAAAAUAUAGUAUAGCUUUCGGCCCAAAGUUAAAAGAAUAAUUAGUUCUACAGAUAAGCCCGUACUUCGGCCCAAGUACCGACCGACCGACCAAACUUUUAAUGUUUCGGCUUUAAUAGUACUAACUUAUAGCCCGUGCAAGGCAUGGGAGCUUUUUAGUAAUUUAUAAACUUUUUAAAUAUAUUUUAAAUUAUGUGAAAAUUUUUAAUUUACAAAUAAUAAAUUAAAAUUUUCAAUUAAAUAAAAUUUGAAAUUAUGAUUUGUUUGCAAUUCCGAACUUUUGUAAAAAUAUAUAAUUUUUAUAUGAUGUUGGUACAAUUUAAAAUUUUAUCUUAAAUUUUAGUUGAAUCUAAUACAAAAUAUUAGUUUCCAUGAUUUAUUAGUUAUGAAUAACUUAAGCUAACGUAUUCGUCUUUAAUAAUAAAAAUAUUUAAUAGCAUGAGGUAAUGCAUAUUUGCAUAUAAUUUUUCAUUUUUCUUUUUUAAUAUAUAUACUUGAAUAAAAAUAUUUAUUUUAAAAAUAUUUUUAUGUUAAAUUAUUAAUCUUUAUAUAUAAAAUAUAUUCCCUACGGGCUACGUCCCAUCAUAUUAUUUAGAGUUUUUUUUUUGGGAUGUACCAUCAAAUUCUUUACAUUUCAAAACUUACCAAAUAGGUCCCACCACUACACAACUUUUCCUACCUUUUCACACUACUUUUACUCCUUUUUCACAAUACCUUUACUCUACUAUCUUCUUUUUAUACAUUAAAAAUUAAUAGGUCCCACUACUUACCCAUUUUUCUUUUUAUUUUCCACUACUUUGUACAUAUAUCUUCACCUCCGUGCCCAAACCAAACAUAAAGAUUGGCUGGGACGGAAGGAGUAUUCAUUAAUAAUUUGAAUAACAUGCAUGCAAAUAGAAGGCAUAACAUGUCUGGAUUAGGAAAAUUUGUUAAAAAUAUGCGUUAUAUUUUUCACACUUGUUUCUAAUUUGGAUAAAAAUAUUUUUGUGAUCGUGCAAUUUGUAUGAUUCUACAAAUAAAAAUGGGAAUAUUUAUUUUAGAUUAAAAUAACAUAAACACGUGAAAGAAAUAAUUUGUUUUGGAUUCAGAAAAGAAGAUAUCAGUUGCCUAGCUGCCUUAUAAGUUCUAAUCUAACAGUGCUUAUUUGAUCAAUAUACGAUCUAACGGAUGAUAAGCUUUUGGACCAGAGGACCAUGCGACCAAAUUAUCUCCCUUACGCUUAUUAUAUAAUACUAGCUUAUAGCCCGUGCAAGGCACGGGAGCUUUUUAAUUAUUUAUAAAUUUUUUAAAUAUAUUUUAAAUGGUGUGAAAAAAUUAAUUUAUAAAUAAUAAAUUAAAAUUGUACAUAUCAUGCCAAAGUAUUAAAUUCUUUCUAUCAAAUUUUAAACCAACUCCUAUUAGAUUAUAUUUAUAAAAGUUCUAAUCUAACAGUGCUUAUUUGAUCAAUAUACGAUCUAACGGAUGAUAAGCUUUUGGACCAGAGGACCAUGCGACCAAAUUAUCUCCCUUACGCUUAUUAUAUAAUAUAGCUUAUAGCCCGUGCAAGGCACGGGUGCUUUUUAAUUAUUUAUAAACUUUUUAAAUAUAUUUUAAAUGGUGUGAAAAAAUUAAUUUAUAAAUAAUACAUUAAAAUUGUAUUCUCAAAAUGGUGUGAAAAAAUUUAAUUUAUAAAUGUUAAAUUAAAAUUGUAUGUAUCAAUGCCAAAGUAUUAAAUUCUUUCUAAAUUUUAAAUUAUUUUAAGUAGUGUGACGCCAACUCCUAUUAGAUUAUAUUUAUAAAUGUAUUUUAUAUUAGAAUUAUUAUAAUGUGAUUUAAAUAUUUUUCUAAAAAUUUUUAUGGUUCGAGAUUAAAAUUGAUAAACACAAUUUGUUUUGAAUUAAGAAGAUGAAUCAUAAACAUGCAAUAAGAUGGUAGAAUUUGCUUUGGAUUAAAAAAUUUUUUUUGUAUUUGUUCCUCACAUAAAUCGGGCUUAUUAAUUUUGAAAUAUAUUAGGUAAAAAUAAUUUUGUGACUGUGCGAUUUAUAUGAUUCUACAAAUAAAAUUGGUAGAAAAUAUUUAUUUUGGAUCAAAAAAAAUCAUAAACACGGGAAAUACUUAAUUUGUUUUGGAUUCAGAAAAGGAUUUAUAAACAUGCAAGUAGAUAUCAGUUGUGUUAUGGAACAAAAGUUAAUUUUGUUCUAAUCCAACGGUGCUUAUUUGUUCAAUAUACGAUCCGAUGGAUAAAAAUAAUCUUGUGACGGUGUGAUUUAUACGAUUCCACAAUUAAAAUUUGUAGGAAAUAUUUAUUUUGAAUUAAAAAAAAACAAAAACACAUGAAAGACAGAAUUUGUUUUGAAUUCAGAAAAAGAAUUAUAAACAUGCAAGUAGAUGUCAGUUUCCUUAUAGAACAGAAUUUAAUUUUGUUCUAAUCUAACGGUGCUUAUUUGUUCAAUAUACGAUCCAACGGCUUUUGGACCACAGGACCUUGCGACCAAAUUAUCUCCCUUACGCUUAUUAUAUAUAAGUAUAUAAUAAGUAUAUAAUAGUAUAGAUAUGCUAGUCUUAAAUAUAUUUUUUUCCUAUAUAUAUGCUAGCCUCUUGAGACGUGAUCAUCCCAAACAAAAAAAUUUAACGGAAAAAGAAAAUGAGGAAUUCCAUCCUCUGUUUUUCCACCAUCUGUUUGUUGCUCAUCUUCCUGCAGUUGCAGCACAACCUAGUGGCUUGUUCAUUAAGCCCCCACUUGCAGAAACUUGCCUUGUUCCAUUUUAACCAAACCUUAACAAUCAGUACUACUAGCUGGGAUUGCGAAUACGUUUCCUACGAAGAGAAUGCAGUGUAUGAAAUUCCUUCACGGGCAAAGACAAAGAAUUGGAGCAUGAGUUCUGAUCACUGCACAUGGGAUGGAGUUAGCUGCGACGACAAGACAGGGGACGUUAUCGGACUGGAUUUAAGUUGCAGUCAGCUGGAAGGAGCCAUUCUUCCUAACAGCGCUCUCUUCCAGCUCUCUCAUCUCCGCUUCCUCAAUCUUUCUCAAAACGACUUUUACCUCGCCAGUCAGUUCCCUCAGGAAUUUGGUUUCUUUGCAAAAGGUUUGACGCAUCUCAACCUCUCUAAUACUGGAUUAUCAGGGAGAGUUCCCUCGGGAAUCUCUCAUUUGUAUAAACUUGUCUCACUUGAUCUCAGUGACAACUCAGUCUCACUUGAUCUCAGUCAGAACUAUGAGGCUAAACUUGAAGAAGAAGUGUUUAAAUCAGUGUUGCAGAAUUUAACUCAUCUUGAAGUGCUUAAUCUUAAUGGAGUUAAGAUCUCCUCUGUUUUGCCCCUGAAUAUCUCUACUUCUUUAAGAGUUCUUCAAUUGAGGUAUACUUAUAUACACGGAGUAGUACCCCAAGAGGUUUUCCACCUUCCCAACUUGGAAUUACUUGAUUUAUCACUUAAUGACGACCUGAGAGCAACAUUACCCAAAGUUAAGUGGGGAAGUAAAGUUACUCUCCAACACCUUCAUCUUUCAUACAUCAACAUAGAUGGAGGUAUACCUGACUCAAUAGGCUUUUUGGAGUCAUUAGUCAGUUUGGAUUUGAGCAGCUGUAAUUUGUCUGGGCCUAUACCAAGAUCCAUUGGGCACCUCGUUCAACUUACUCGCUUGGACCUCUCUCAAAAUAUUCUCAAUGGCCCAGUUCCAACAUUUUUUACAGACCUUACAGACUUAAGAUAUAUCUCCCUUUGGCAAAACAAUUUCACUGGAUCCCUACCUCGUUCGUUGUUUCACCAUCCAUCCUUAGAGUCCUUGUCUCUGGAUAAUAAUGCAUUCACGGGUCAACUACAUGAAUUUGAUUCUUCUCGCUCACGGCUGCAAUCUUUUUCUUGUUCCAACAAUUCACUCUAUGGAUCCAUUCCACAUUCUUUUUCUCAGCUUGUGAAUCUCACUGUCCUAGAUUUGUCAUCAAACAAUUUCAGCGGGGUUUUGGAUUUGGAAAUGUUUUCAGGCCUCGAAUCUCUAAAACGUCUUCAUCUUUCUGAUAACAGUCUUUCAGUGAGAAGUACAAUUAUGGCCACUCUCCCUCCUAAUCUUUACUCCUUGGGCUUGUCAUCUUGCAACAUGAAAGAGUUCCCCCACUUUUCAAGAGAUGCAAACAUCUCCCUGAAUCUUAUAGACCUAUCAAACAAUAAAAUUGAAGGGGAAAUUCCACACUGGAUUGGGUCGGUGGGGGAUUUCUAUGGAAUCCCUUAUCUGAAUCUAUCUCACAACAAACUAAUAGGCGGUCUUGAGCAACUGCCUUGGGGUUAUAUUCAAUAUCUUGAUCUCCAAGACAACAAGCUGAAUGGCUCCUUGCCCACCUUGAUGUGUAAUUCCAGCUCUCUUGAGAUUCUAAAUCUCUCUCACAACAAUUUGAGUGGUGUACUCCCCAUUUGUCAUACAAAUUUGACUCAGCUUUCGGUGUUGGAUCUGCGGAGGAAUAAAAUUCAAGGAAUCAUUCCAGCAACCUUGUCAAAUUUCCGUUAUCUGGAAACUAUUAAUUUGAAUGGAAACCGCUUACAAGGAAGCAUUCCUUCUUCUUUUGCUGAAUUAGAUUCUUUAGCCGUCCUUGAUCUUGGAAAUAAUCAGAUAAAUGAUACAUUCCCCCUGUGUUUGGAAGCUCUUCCAAAACUCCAAGUUCUUGUUCUCAAAUCAAACAAGUUUCAUGGUAUAAUAAACCAGAGUUCUGAGACAAAACACCCAUUUCCUAGCUUAAGAAUCAUUGAUCUUUCGUACAAUGAGUUUUCAGGUGCACUGCCAGAAAAAUAUUUUAGAAACUUCAAGGCUAUGAUGAAUGCGGAAGUGAAUAAGAUAAAUCGUAGCUAUAUGGAGCAUCGGUAUUACAGUGAUUCCACAGCUCUGGUGAUUAAAGGCAUGGAUAUUGAUUUACAUAGAAUUUUGACUGUGUUCACAACUAUUGAUGUAUCAAAGAACAAUUUUGAUGGGGGGAUAGCUGAAUACUUUGGAAAUCUAGUAUCACUCAGAUUUCUUAAUCUUUCUCACAAUUAUCUCACAGGCCACAUACCAUGCUCGAUUGGAAAAUUGACUGUGCUGGAGUCACUAGACCUCUCAUCCAACCAACUUGAAGGAGAAAUACCUCAGCAGCUCACUAGUGUAUAUUCACUUGCAGUUCUAAAUCUGUCUUGCAACCAACUUAGAGGACGUAUUCCAGAAGGGUGGCAAUUCGAUACGUUUGAAAACAGCAGCUACGCUGGUAACUUUGGGCUGUGCGGACAUCCCUUGUCGAAAAAGUGUGAAUCUUAUGUUAGGACACAAGAAGAAGAUGACGAAGAUGAGGAUGAAUGUCACUUUUUCUGUGGUUUUACUUGGGAAGCGGUGGUGAUUGGAUAUGGGUGUGGAGUGGUGCCUGCAUUUAUCACUGGCUACCUGAUGUUGCUGGCACGGAAACCAAAAUGGUUUGCUGGAAUCAUUGGCAGGGAAUUGGGGCUCAAGAUCAGGAGGAUGGAGAUUAGAAUGCGAUACUAAAGGUUUGCUGUAAUCUGUAUCCCAUUCCCAGGUCUUGAAAAUUCUGUAAUAAUAUAUAGUAAUAUCUGCUCUCAUAUAAUUCUAUAUUUGCAGAUUCAGAUGGGACAAGCAGGAUCAGAUGCAUUGGAAUCAACCACUAGUACUUCAGCUGUUUUGUCAUUCUAAAUUUUACAUUUUACAAUAAAAGUCAAAAGAUACAAGUUAUGUAGUAUUGUUUUGUUCCAGCCUCAGGCUCUUCAUUUCUAAAACAUGUUUGCGGAUGCUUUACAAUGUACAAUUUACAAUAUAUCAAAGUUUUUAAUAUACACUACCAGAACUGGGUUACAUUGCAGUGUUGUCGCCAUUUUUCUGAAUUUCACUAGUUGGGAAGACUGUAUAAAUUAUGUUAGAGUCGCUGCUAUCAGUGAUCGCGUUCAACAACUUAUCUCAAACUGGUAAGAUUUACUAAAUUUUUAAUUUCACAAGCUGUUGAUAGAAUAGAAGAUGCCUCAGUUUAAGGAUCGAGAAUGUAUUAAUGAACUGUCCCAGCCCUGAGAAAUUCUCUUUGAUGGGGCUGCAGUUUCAAUAAAUCGCCUCUUGUACUCAGCCAUCAUACAGUGAACCACCGUCCGAUGGUCGAAAUUGGCGAAGCAUGAUGGCUUUAAAUCAGCCCAUAACCUGAUGGGGUGGCAUUUCUGUUCCCCAUUAGUACCAAUGCAGGGUGUCCCCUUCCAAAGCUACUCUGCAACAAUUUCCAACAUCUCGUAUUCACUUAACCCGUUCAGUAGACAACAAGGUUAGGAGCAAGAAUGAGUCGGUGUCUGGACAUGAGAUUAGGAAUACUAUUACCUCUGACUUCUGAGGCCCGUGACAGAUCGAAGAGGCAUGAAAGUUGGGGACAGGGGACGGCUGGUGCAUUGGAAUGAAAGUAAAAAACUUUUUCAGAGCCUGAUGCUCUCAAGGAUGCAGUCUAAUGAACAAGCGUAAUGAUGUCAUGUUAACUGUCAACCACCUAGUCAAAAUUACUUGAAAUGAUGAAAUUUAUGACAGUAAAUUUAUGAUGCUCUGAGUUUGUUGAUCAACCAAGCUAUGUUGUAGGCAGCUCUUAUCUGAUCUGCAAUCAAGUUAAUGAACCACUACCUCAGUUCAACAUUUUACAUUUUACAGCUCAGAAUAAAAGAUUACAUGUGUAUUAAUCUGAUCAUCAUUUGUUUGAUCAAUUUAGAAGUUCGGCUUUGUUUACUUCUAUCCCGGGCUCUUCAUUUCUAGAGCAUAUUUGUUGAUACUUUUUAUUGAACGGUUAAGAAUAUACCAUAGAUUUUUAUAUUCGGCGUAGAUGAUUUUAUGUCCUGAUUUCAUUCCAUUCAUGAACUAAUUAAAAAUUUGAAAGUGGGUCAUAUCUGGCAGUGAUGCCAGCCCUUCCUGACCUGCAUUUCAUGACCACAAACUCCAAUUCUGCCCAAAAAUUGCAGCUGUUUCGUAAUAUUUUUCUACGUGCUCUUUUGUUUGGACUUGUUUGCUGGACCAUGCAUAUGUUUUGAUACAUCUUUGUUGAUGUUAACACUCUUGUGUCAGUUACUGGACUCAUUGUUAGUAGCCCAUUCUUUACGGCAGACAUUGAAUUGGAUUUACUUGAAGAAAUGAAGGAUUAAGAAAGUUCAGAACAAUUUGUUGAUUAUUUCCUUCCCUAGAAACUGCACUCCAGCAUCAAAGUACCUUUCAAAGACUCCAGACAUCAUCUCUUGAUUAUCAAAGACUUGGUCUUGCAUAUACUGAUAUACCGUGAAUAUAGGUUUCUUUCAUUUCCUUGAAAUUGCAUUUUUUGAAGUAGCUUUCCAGACUCAUUCCCGUCACUUCUCAAAGUCUUAUUCCCCAUCAAUACAUACACAUAAUAUCACACCAAUUUGCUCAUGCUCAGAUGGGCUUUUCUUACAAACCACACAUGUUCACUUCUCAUAGUCUUAGUCCUCGUUAAUAUAUACAGAUAAUAUCCCACCAAUUUGCUGGUGCUACAAAUGGGCUUCUCCUACAAGUCUACAACUACACAUAAUCGGAGAAAAGUCUGUCAAAUGGAUCUUGAAAGACCCUUCUGCAUUGAUUAUCAAAGUAUAUUAUCUGUUAACAUAAAUGUAUUUUAUCAAAGUACUCUCUAAAUAAAAACUAGUAAUAGCAGUUACACAGUAAAAAUUUUUCCUCAAACAAUUACCACCUCAAAUGAGAUAGGCAACCUUAGAUUCUCCAAAAGUGCUUAUAUUGCAACCCUUGUGUAAUGACUAAUAACAGUCAUGAUUAGUAGACAGACCAUAAUUGCGAUGGUUCGAACUUUUUUACUUGAGCUGGAGAGAAGACUUUGAACUGCAGUGUUAGCUAGGAGUUUUUGCACCGUUCCUUUCCCUGUCUUGAAAUUGCAUUUCAGCUCCAAAAGUAGAUUUCAGAGACUGAUUCAUGCCAUCUUUUAAUUUUCAAUGGCAUAGUCGCGAUGACACUCUCACUUCUCACAUUGGAAAACUUUUACCAACACAAUGAAAUUUAUAAGAGUAAAAUGCAAAGCGGUGGUUAAAUUUAUAAGAGUUCUAUCGAAGUCUAGUUUACCUAAAUAACUGCAAAAUGGUUAGGGUUGUUCACGAACCGAGCCGAGCCGAGUUUUGACCGAACCGAGCCAAGCUUUAAUUUUUUUUCUGACGAGCCGAGCCGGGCCGAGCUUUUUUAUCGAACAAAAUUUGUGUUCAAGCUCGGCUCGUUAACUAACGAGCCGAACACGAGCUUGUUCGCGAACAAAUACAAGCCGAACCGAGUAGAAUCGAGUCGAGCCGAGCCAGAAAAAAAAUAAGAACAAACCGCUAGUUGACUCUUAAAAUAGCUAACCAAAUAAUUUUAUUUUUUUUUAAACUUUGUUUAUAUCACUAAAAUGUAUAUAUGUUAACAUCCAUACGGUUGGAUCGGUAAGAAAUAUUUUUUAAAAUAUUGAAACACUAAAUUAGGAUUAAACACUAGUUAGCAGUACUAUUUAACCUUCUACUUGACUGUUAAAAUAGCAAACCAUAUAAAAUUAUUAUUUUCCGAAAUUUUGGUUACAUCACUGAAAUAUAUAUAUAUUAAUUAUAUGUUGAAUUCUGAGUUCAAUAACAUAUAUAAAUUAUAAAAAAAACCCCGAAAAUAUUACAUUUUUUCGAGCUUUAACGAGCCGAGCUCGAGCCGAGCGAGCUCGAGUCGAGCUCGAGCCGAGCUCGAGCCGAACAUACUAAAAGCUCGGCUCGAGCUCGUUUACUUAACGAACAAUUUUUUGUGUUCGUCCUCGAGCUCGUUAACUUAACGAGCCGAGCCGAACGAGCUCUUAACGAGCCGAGCUCGAGCUUGUUCGCGAACAGCUCGGUUCGUUAAGCAGCCCUAAAAAUGGUGAAACAAACUAGGGCUUAGAAAAUGGUACAAUUUGCGGUUUUGUAUCUAUUGGGCAUCUAUUUUGGUGUGCUAGUCAACUUGUAUGGUUCUUAAAGUUUACAACUUGAAACAGUUAAUAUCAAAUGUCAAAGUGAAAAUAUGUGUAGUUUUAACUUCACAAUAUUUUCUUGGUGCGGGCUAUGUAAGUUAUCUUUUACAUGGUGAAUCAAGUUAUGAUACUCAGAAUCAAUUAUGUUUCACUUUCGUAUUUUCCACCUGGUCGUAAGAUUUGUAGUUUUCCUUCGCUAUUGUAAAGGUUGUGUUCUAUUAAGGGUGAUAUAUGCGCACCCUAAAUUAAUUUAUGCACACUUUACCUUCUGUUUCAUAUCAAAUUACCCUUGUCUUUUAUCAUUUCAACCAAAUAUUUUAUUAAUUCAAAGGGGUAAUUUAGUACAAACUAGAUGAAAGGUGUGCAUAAAUAAAUUUAGGGUGUGCAUAAAUCAGCACCCAAUGUAUUUAGUGAUUCCACUGAUGAUAAUGUUAAGCAAUUAACAGGUAUUAAAAUGCUUUCAUUAUAAUGCAACUUUAUACUCCCUUUAUCCCAUUUUAACUGAGGUAAAAAAAACAAUAUCUACACCCAUUAAAAAAAAUUCAAUUUUUAUAUCAAAUAAAAGUUUAGAUUCUAAAAUUUUAAUUGAUGAUAUAAAUUUUAUAAACAAUAAUUAUGUUUAUAUGUGAUUUUCUUAACAUUUCAAAAUACAUGUAAAAAGGUCAAAAGUAGUUAAAAUGGGACGGAGGGAGUAUAUUUUUAUUCAAACUCGAGUCUCCCGUGAGUGGAGCUCUUAAUAUCAUGCGAAGUUAAUAUUCUCCUAAAAUCUCAAAAUGUUAGAUAGAAUGACUUAUAAAAAAAUUGAAGAAAAGUGGAGUUUUAUUAUAAGUUUUAUCCGUGUUACAUACUUACAUUGAAUAUCUGGUAGUAACGCAAAAAAUUUGGUCUCCUCUAUGUAUUUUUGCUGGCUUGGUCGAAUCAGUUGGAUUGCUGGUAUUUGAAUAAUCUAAUUUUUUCAGAAAUAAGAAUUUAUUUCUUGAGAAAAGUACAUAAAACUACUAUACUUUUUUGGUCUCCUCUAUGUAUUGUUUUAUUUUAUAAGUCGUUUAAGGUAUUUUCACACAUAUUAAAAAACUUCAUUGUUGCAUAAAAAAGUAUUUAUUAGUCAUUUCUUUUUCAUUAUUAUCCUCAUUUAAUGUCUCUUUUCUCUCUUUUUCUAUUGACUCAUAAUAUUAAAUAAGGGUGAUAAAAGUCAUUAGAUAAUUUAAAUUAUUCUUGAAAAAAAAAAAAGAACGACCUAUAUUUAUGAAUAAUAAUAUUUUCUAAAAUGAACUAUAAAAAAACAGAUGGAGUACUGUAUAUCAAGUGGAGAAGCAAGACUAAAGUGCAGUACUCCUAAGCCCACAUUGUACGGCGGUAGUACAUUUGAUUUUAUUCGGGGAAAACCAUGUUUAUGGAUUAUCUCAUCUGAAAGACCCUAUCCAUCAUCUUCCGAUUCUCAGAGUCUUGGCCUUCCAUUCCAUGCACUGCUCUGCACGUGCUUCUGUUUGAGAUCAAAAUCACCUGCCUUAAAAAAUUUGUUUCUUUUGUAGUCUAAUCUCUGUCCCAAUCAAAUAUAUACCUUAACUGUGCACGUAUUUUGAGAUUUUAAUAAAAUUUUGUUGUAAAAUACUUUUUAAAAUUUUUUUUUUUGAAUAAAAAUUUAAACCUCAAAUUUUUAUUCAGUUAAGGAAAAUUUUAAAUAAUGUUUUGUAAUUAUACUUUAACGAAGCCUUAAAAAAUAUACCAAAAAACAGCGUAUACAAUUCAUCAGACGAGCAACCGCCAACAAGAAACACCACCGACAAUAAUAAACAAGAUUAGAAUGCAUAAUAUUCUGCAUUGGUCGAUAACUAUCAUUAUUAAUUUCUUCCUGCUGCACCACCGACAAUAAUAAACAAGAUUAGAAUGCAUAAUAUUCUGCAUUGAUCGAUAACUAUCAUUAUUAAUUUCUUCCUGCUGAGAAUUGAAACCACGCCCUCUGGCAAUUCCAAAAUGUUCCCUUUUAUAUUUAGCAAAAAAUAAUGAAUGGUGCUCCCAUUUUUUGACUAACCCAAAAACUCGAUGAUGGGCAAAAAUUGCACUAAUAUUAGAAUGAUGGUGUUUAGACAAGUUCUUCAUUUCAAAUUUUAAAUAUUGAAAUAAUUAGAAAUAUAAUAUAUAACUAUAUGACAAACACUCUAAUUCAGCAAGAAUCUUAUUUUUUGUAUCAAUUUUUCAAUAAUUUCAGGUGAAUGGUAAUUUAAUAUAUAAUCAAAUUUUAAAUAUUGUAUAGUUUUUGUUUUAUAUUUUAAUAAAUUUCAUAAUAGUGAGGAUAUGAGUACAUAUAUACAUCAACAGAAGGGUCGUUUGGGUAAACUUUAAAAAAGUGACUUCUUUCUUCAAAUAAAAAUGUGCACUAUAUUCCGUCAAAAAAAAUGUGCAGCAUUAGUAAGAGGUAAGUCUAGACUUAAAAGUGAUUAAAAUUUUUUAAGGAAAAGUAGAAGUUCUGAAAAUAAAAGUUAGAAAUUUUGGCUUCUUACAGGUGUUUCUGACUUUUUACAAAAUUAUAAGCCGACUUUCUUAGAAAAAGAAGGCGGAAGCUGGGGCAGCCAAACAAACACAUGAUAUGACUUGAUAUACAAAAAAAUUACAUUUAAAUUACGUUUAUAACACAAAUAAUCUCAAUUUAAAAAUGAUGAACAAAGAGAUAUGAGAUAUAUUGAAAAAUAAUUGAAAGCAACCCGUGUUUUGCACGGGUUAAAAAGCUAGUUCUAAUUAAAGGGAAAAAAGCCAUCGACUAAAAUUGAACACGGAUGGGAAUUAUAAGAAGCAUAAGCAAACAAACUUUUCUCUACAAUAAAAGGUGAUGGGUUGAAGUCAAGAAAACACCGAUUCAUCUUUGUACAAAGUUAAAAAUACUAACGGCUCUUUGCUUAUAGCACUACAAGAAAACUCAUUUUAAUGACAGAAAUUCUGUUAACAUGAUAAGGAUUUUCGUUGGUAAAUCACCGCCAAGGGAAUGAUAAUGAAAAUAAUUGGUUGGCAUAUAGUUGAUCGGGAAGUUCAUGCUAACGGAACAAAUUCGUUGCUAAAUUGGUUUCUUUUGAUAAAAGAUGAUGGGUUGAAGUCAAGAAAACAAACACAACACUUUUACAGAAAGUUAAAAAUACUAACCGCUCUGUGCUUAAAGAGUGGCAUAAGUAAGCAGUUCUCCGUGUGCUAGAAAUUCCUUCAUUUCUUGCUCUUCUAAGCCAACAACAGCUCUAAUACCAUCAUUCGCGGUAUCCAUCAGAGUGAUGACAUCAACCAUCGGAGUGUCCACAAGCACAGCUUUAACCGGCUUUCCCCACCCGAAAUCCAUGAUAUCAUAUAGCGGGAAAUUACACAUGCUUGUAAUAACGUAGAACCUGUACUUGUGUUUUGUGAACUCAAGAAACUCAGUCUCCAUUUCGUGUCCUUCCAUACUCUUGAUUCCUUUUAGCUGUUCCCUCUCUUUCCUCAUUCGUGCUACCAACGUUCUGUACUUUUUGUCCGCCUCUGUGGUCGCUACAAUGUGGUUUAGAAUCUGGAAAUUCCCCACAGUUGUUUCUUGCAGUGGCGGAUCAAUCAUAUGCCUCACAUUGACAGCCCGCAUUAAAACGGAUCCAUUAUGCACUCCAGCAUUAGUCCUAUCUGCCACGCUUACAAGACAUCUGUAAAGGAGUGCAGUCAGAAGCUCGUUGCGGGUGUAUUUUUGAUCUUCCACUACUCCAUCCAGCUUAUCCUCGUUAUUCACCACAAUCUUCAGUUCUGCUAGCUUUGUGUUGGGAAACACUAAUUCCUUCGUCGUCCAAUUCUUAUCUGGAAAUAUGAUGGUUUCGAUGGCAUUAAUAUCAUAGGAUAGAGGCAGCAGAGCAUUCACCAGAACGGGACAGAGAUGUAACAGUUUUCGGUGAUCACCAGAAUGGAGUGACAGAGUGGCCCAAUACCUUAAAAGUGUGCAGGUAGUCAGAGCAUCACCCAGAAGGUGAGAAAGGCAAAAAAUUGCUGACGAAAAAAUGUACAAACUAGUAAAAAAUGAAAAUCACUUCUGGUAGUAAAAAAAGUCUAAACUAGAACCUAGUUCAGCCCAAUAUUUUAGCAUUAGUUUUAACUGCAAAAAUCACUAAUUUGUACAUUAUUAAUGAUUAAUUUUUAAAUAGAAAUAUCACAAAUAAAUAAAUAAAUAAAUAUAAUUAAAAAAUUAAAAAAAUCAUCAAUUUUCACCAAAAAGUCGUAUUUUCCCAACUAGUUCUACCAUGGAACCAUAUAUAUUUGUCCAAAGUGAUUUACUGUUCAAUAUCAAGUCUAAAAAAAUACACAUAAAACACUACCUUAAAAGUGUGCAGGUAGUAAGAGCAUCCCCAAGAAGGUGAGAAAUGCUAACUGCUACAGCCAUCCCUCCACAAUCGAAACGGUUGAGUUGCACAUACAUUAUAUUACCCGAAUGCUUCUCAGAAAACUGAUUCCGAAUUGUGCAAGGUGGAAACAGAUGGCCUAAUCCGUCUUCUUCCUUGACUGCAGCUCUAUCCUGAACCUCCGACAUAUUGCAUCCGAUUUGAGCCUCGAUAAAUUGAACGCCUUCAUCGUUACAAUCGACGUACGAUCCAGAGCAUAUCCUUCCUGCAAAUGGAUAGUACUUGGACAGUGUCUCCGACAAAGACUUCUUCAGUAGAUCUGAUGCAUUAUCAGGGACCCGUUCACGAAUGGGAUCAGAGUUGUUUUUGGGAUAGAAAAAAAUCAGUGGAAUAUAAAAAUUUGGAACCAUGCGAUCAUGUAAAGGAAUAUUGUAUCGUUUGAGGUUCGAGGGAGUUGGAGAAGCUGGUUUAAUGCUGCAGGAAGAUCUUGAGAUUACAUGCAGCUGCCUUCUAAAUACUAAUGACAACCUCAUCAAUCCUUUAAACGUCAUUUUUAACUUGCCAAACCAAACUUUGAUGUGUAUAUCAGAUAUGAGCUGGUUUAAUUGGGGUAUUUAUACAGAUUUAUAAGAGAAGAUUACAGCCCAUGCCAAAAGACUUGGCGGUUGAAGCUGGUGAGAUGAUAUAACUCCUGAUUAACCGGAAAUCAGGGAUUAAUCGUAAGGAUUAAUCAGAGUGAAAAUCGGUUUUAUUUUGAAUAUUAAAAUAUUAUUUUUAAUAUUUAUUUAUUACUAUAUUAAUUAUUUAAUAAUAAAUAUAUUUAAUAUAUCAUAAAUUUUAUAAUUGUUCAUAUUUAAAGUAAAUAAGUAGUAUUCAAUUUUAAUAAUUUAUUAUAUAUAUAUACUUCGCUUGAGAAAAAUUUAUACGGAUUAAUCGAAUUUUAAAAAUCGAAUCAAUCGGCCAUCUUGCAGGAGAUUAAUUGGGAAUUCAUCGAUAAAAUCAAUAAUUUUUAAAACACUGCCGGCAACUGUAAGUAUAAAAAAUAGGAAUAAACAAAGAGCACUGGGAACCACAUGCAAGUGAUUGUUUACUGCUGGUUCUACCGGUCUCUGCCAAAAACUCUGAUAAAUACCAGACAAAACUACCAGUCUCCCUUGCAUAAAAUAUCUAAGCUACAUAGGAAUCUUUUUAUGUCUAUGCUACAAGACAUUUUUUAUGACUUGGAUCCCAUUUCAUUUGUGGCAUUGCAGCAGUUCAUUCUUUAUUUCCUGAAUUUUCUCUAUAAUCUUUACCUCAUGCCUCUUAAUUUUUAUUCAAGAUAAUUUUUUUUGCAAAUUACUGUGGUUCUGCUUUUCUUAUCUUUUCUUCUUUUGGCUUUGCUGGUACUUUUCCUUUGCCAGUUUAAUUUUACCUUCAACUUUGAGAAAUAAAUGUAUUUAGUGAUUUCACUGAUGAUAAUGUUAAGCAAUAGGGUUCAAAAUGCUUUCAUUAUAAUGCUACUUUAUUUAUUUAUAUUCAAACUCGAGUCUCCAGCAAGGGGAGCUCUUAAUACCAUGUGAAGUUAAUAUUCUCCUAAAAUCUCAAUAUGUUAGAAAGAGUAAUUUUUUAUUAAAAAAAUUGAAGAAAAGUAGAGUUUUAUUAUAAAUUUUAUACGUGUUACAUUGAAUAUUUAAAAGUAAAGCAAAAAAUUUGGUCUCCGCUAUGUAUAUUUGCUGGCUUCGUCGAAUCAGUUGGAUCGCUGGUAUUGGUGAGAGCGUGAGACAUUAAAGGGAGAUGGGCUGAUCAGAUCAGCUUGGUUGAUAAUGUCUAAAUCCAAUUCCUUAACAAGGAAUUGAUUUUACUCAUGAAAAAAGAGUGAUUAAAAAAAAAGUUUGCAGAAAGUCAAGACUCAAACCCCAUUCUUAUCAAGUCUUCCACUACUCUAUGCACAAUUCAAAAUACACAAAGACCAACCAAAAAGUUCUUGGAAGUAAUCAAAUAAAUGAUACUCUCCAAGUUCUUGUUCUCAAAUCAAACAAGUUUUAUGGUCUUAUAAACACGAGUUCCAAGAUUGUACACCCAUUUCCUAGCUUGACUGCUUGAGAAUCAUUGAUCUUUCGUACAAUGAGUUUUCAGGUGCACUGCCAGAAGAAUAUUUCAGAAACUUUAAGGCUAUGAUGAAUGCGGAAGUGAAUAAGAUAUAUCGUAGCUAUAUGGAGCAAGAUUAUUACACUGAUUCCACAGCUCUAGUGAUUAAAGGCAUGGAAAUUAAUUUAAAAAGAAUAUUGACUGUGUUCACAACUAUUGAUGUAUCAAAAAACAAUUUUGAUGGGGAGAUAGCUGAAUACUUUGGAAAUCUGGUAUCACUCAGAUUUCUUAAUCUUUCUCACAAUUAUCUCACAGGCCAUAUACCACGCUCGAUUGGAAAAUUGACUGUGCUGGAGUCACUAGGCCUCUCAUCCAACCAACUUGAAGGAGAAAUUCCUCAGCAGCUCACUAGUGUAUAUUCACUUGCAGUUCUCAAUCUGUCUUGCAACCAACUUAGAGGACGUAUUCCAGAAGGGUGGCAAUUCGAUACGUUUGAAAACAGCAGCUACGCUGGUAACUUUGGGCUGUGCGGACAUCCCUUGUCGAACAAGUGUGAAUCUUAUGUUAGGACACAAAAAGAAGACGAAGAAGAUGAGGAUGAAUGUCACUUUUUCUGUGGUUUUACUUGGGAAGCAGUGGUGAUUGGAUAUGGGUGUGGAGUGGUGCCUGCAUUUAUCACUGGGUUACUGAUGUUGCUGGCACGGAAGCCAAAAUGGUUCGAUGGAAUCAUUGGCAGGGAAUUGGGGCUCAAGAUCAGGAGGAUGGAGAUUAGAAUGCGAUACUAAAGGUUUGCUGUAAUCUGUAUCCCAUUCCCAGGUCUUGAAUAUUCUGUAAUAAUAUAGUAAUAUGUGCUCUCAUAUAAUUCUAUAUUUGCAGAUUGGAGAGGCAUGAACAUUUUGGCAUGUAAGUUGAUGGGACAAGCAGGUUUCAGAUUCAUUGGAAUCAACCACUACUUCAGCUGUUUUGCAUCUUUUGUGAUUUUAAAUUUUACAUUUUACAAUAAAAGUAAAAAAGAUACAAGCUCCAUGGACAAGUUUUGUAUUGUGUAGUUCCAGCCUCAGGCUGAUGGUUUAUAAUGUACAAUUUACAAUAUAUCACAAUUUGUAAUAUACAGUACCAGAUGAUUUUAUGGCCAAAUUAUCCUUAAUCGCUUUCAUGAACUAAUGGAAAUUUGUAAAAGCGGGUCACAUUUGCAGUGAUGCCGCUAUUUUUCCUGAAUAUUCCUAGUUCUGAAGAUUGUCUAAAUCAUGUUAGUAGCUGCCAUCAGUGAAUGCAUUCAACGGCUUACUGAAACUGGUAGAGAUACUAAAUUCACAAGUUAUUGAUAGAAUAGAAGAUGACAGAGUGUCCAUGCGUCAGUUUAAGGAUCGAGAUGUGUAGCCGUGACUUGUAUUUUAAAAUUGCACAAGAUGCUUUACAAUGGUAGCAGAGGGCUGCGGAUUUAUUGGGUUAGUUGGAAGCACUCAAGUCGAAUUGGUUGUAGCAGAGCAAGAAGCUGAGCACGACCAUAAGAAUUUGAACUCUGAGGCUAAUUUGACUCUACUUGUAAGCCUUCCACUAGACAGCAAGGUUAGGAGAAAGAUUGAGUCGAUGUAAGCCUUCCUCUGACGCCUGUGACAGAUCAAUGAGGCAUGAAAGUUGGGAACAGGGGACGAUUGGCGUAUUGGAAUGGAAGUGGAAAACUUCUUCAGAGCCUGAUGCUCUCGGAGAUACAAUCUAAUGAAAAAGCGUAAUGAUGAUCAUGACUCCGCCCUUGCUCUAAAUCAGUAAGAUCAACCUCUCUACACAAUUCACUAAUACCACCUCUUUAUAACAUUCUCACUCCUAGGUGAUGAAUAAAGUAUCAAGAAACAUAUUUUGUAUAAUGAAUUAUAUUUUUUAUUAUAUUCCUUUUUUUAAAAUAUAUUGCGUAUUACACUGUUUAUUAAUUCUAUUUGAAGCAAUUAAUUAAUUUUUAGCCGUAAUUUAACUUUCAAGGUAGCAUUAUCAGCAUGAGGAAUAGGCAGAGCUUCCAGAUGCUCUCUUCUGAUAGAUAUCAUUCAGCACUUGCUCUGAGUUUGUUGAUCAACCACGCGAUGUUGUAGGCAGCUCCUAUCUUAUCUGCAAUCAAGUUAAUGAACCACUACCUCAGUUGUUAAGCAUCUUUCAACAUUUCACAUUUUUGAGCAUUUAAUUAAUUAGUCAUCAGUCUUGUAUUUAGCUUGAUCGAACAUAAUUGUUCUCUUCAAUUUCUUUGCCUACUUGUCGACGUGUUUAUGUAGCGUGUCUCUACUCUGUAGCUUACACAUCAUUGAUUCAUGUUAUUUUCCCCUUAGGAACUUGAGAGACAUUUGGCAUCAAAAGAAGCUUCUCUCCCGCAAGAACCAUUUUCCCCUUAUGAACAUUUGACAUUUUGGUGUUGCUGAGAGCGCAGCGACUUUUGAUGAACUCGGCCUGUCUGGCAGACAGGAGGCCUUGUUUCUGGAGUUAAUAUAGCGGAUCUCGAAGAGUUUACCCAGAUGGACCAACUUUGUUUGUUAGUUGGAUGUAAAAGUUGUUUAGAGACGGGUAUUUUGUCGAAGUUUGUAUCUAUUGGGUAUUUCGUCUUUUAGUCAGACUAUGGCUCAUACAGUUUCAUACAGUUUGAAGUUGAUAUCAAAUCUUAGAUUAAAUUACUGAACAUUGUUUCUUGAAUUCGAUAUCGAAUUUUAAACGAAAAUAUGUUCAGUUCUAAUUUAAAAGUUAUGCAAAUUACAUUAAUAAUAUGUGGCCCUGUUUGUUUACCAAAAGCAGAAGCUGCUUCUGGCUUCUGCUUUUCUUGACCCGUUUGUGUAAAGAAGCAGAAGCACUUUUAAUAAACUGAGAAUCCUAACUUCUCUCUCACAGCUUCGGCUUCUUUUCCAAACACUUUAUUCACUUAUUUACUUCUCACUUCUGCUCCACUUCUCUAGUUUAAGCAAGAAGUCACUUCUUUUAAGCUUGCCCAAACGGCCCCAUAAUCUAUUUUGAGUCUCUUGGUCUUCGGUCUUCUAUUGCAGCAUAUCAUGCACAUCUCAAAUGAUUGAAAAUGAACUCUCUCCAAAAGACAAGGGGGUCUGUUGAAGUAGACCUGGAAUUGAUUUUACUUGAAGAAACAAUAAUAGGUCACCUUUUAAAGUUUUGGUCUUUGUCUUUUAUCUCUUAAAGUCUUUGUCGUUUACAUCUCAUACAAUUUGCUAUCGUAUUUAACACUUCACACAAUUCCAUGCUAUCGUAUUGAACACUUCACACAAUUCCAUAAUAUUGAAGAUUUUUGGCUUGAAAUAUUCUAGAGAAUAAGGUUGUACAUAAAAUUCAAUAAUUUAUUUCCUUUCCUUCAAUAUUACAACUCAUAUAUUUGUUGCCAAUGACUCAUUCAAUUCGCAUCAAUUAUUAUCAUCUUCACUUUAUCAAAGAGUCUUGCUCUUCGUCCUUUACAUGCUUUUAUUACGAUCCCCAUGUGCUUUGAAAAUACUUGUGUUAUAGUCCACAUCAAUCAAUACUCCUUAUUAAUAAGCGAAACCACAUUUCAGUGGAACAUCGGUACUAAAAGUACCAAAUUUGAUCAUCUUAUAUCAUAUUUAAUUAUUAUUAUUAUUAUACUCCUAUUAAAAGUAUUAUAUUAUCCUUAGGAGAUUUAUAUUGGUCAGGAAUUUAUAAUAUUUUAAGAUAUUAUAAUUAAAGACGACUUCUAUAAUUAUUAGGAUUUUAUAAUUAAUAUAAACUUCUUACUUAAUAAUGAUAAUCAUUAAACUAUUUUGAAAAAAUGUCGUAUUGGUUAGAAUUUUAUAAUUUUAUUAUAUUAUAAUGAAAAGACUUUCAUAUUUAUUAUGAUUUUAUAAGUAAAUACUUUAAUAUUGGUUAGGAUUUUAUAAUUAUCUUGAUAUUGAUUAGAAUUUUAUAAUUAAAGACUUCAAUGUUAUACUAUUAAAAAAAGAUUUCUAACGUUGUUAGGAUUUUGGAAUGCAACAGUUAUACCACCAAUAAAAUUAUUUAUUUUAAAUUCUUUAAACUCAAAUAAUUUAAUUUAUGAAACAACUCUGUAAAACUCCUAUCAUAUUUCAGCAUUCAAAUAAAUAAAGAUUUAUAUUGAUAUUACUUUUUAUUAAUAUGCCAUAUUUUUCUUUAGUGGAAGAACAUGAGUACCAAAUACCGAAUUAUCAAAAUUUGGUUAAUAUCAUGUAAUUUUAACAUUGUCGUACUCUUCACAAUAUAAUAAUAUUAUUAUAAUAACGGAAAGGGGGUGGUAGCACUAUCAUGAUAAAUGCAAAUUCCAAUGAGAAUAAAAUUACUGUGAAAAUUUUAUAAAUAAAUUAAUUUUAAAUUUAUUUAAUUUAUAAUCUCUAUUAUAGUUUUAUAUUAAUUUGAAAAAUAUCUAUUAAUAUUGAAUAUACAAGAACUUCAAUUAGUGUUACACUUAAUAAUAUUUAUUAGACGUCUAAAAUAACUAUGAACUAAAAAAAUUAAGUUUUAUUAAAAAUGGUUGAAUUUUUUUUCCAUCUAUUUAGAAUAAAAACAACAUAAUAAUUUUAUUAAAAUGAAACUUACCAUUUUAAAAUAAAUUCAUAUAAUAACAUAUAUCCUGAGAAUGUUUAUUUUGAAAAAUAAAACUUAAACAUAAUUAAAUAUUAAUAUGUUAAUGCAUAAUAAGUUUUGUAUCUCAACAAUAAUAAUUUAAAUAACUAUAUCAAAAAUAUUAUAAUUCCAAUAAAUAAUAAACUUAAAAAAUUUAUAUAAUCCCGUGCUUGGCACNCAAAAAUAUUAUAAUUCCAAUAAAUAAUAAACUUAAAAAAUUUAUAUAAUCCCGUGCUUGGCACGGGUUAUAGACUAGUAUUGAUAAAUAGACAAAUUACAAUAUUUAGUUCAUUAAUGAAGAGAUAAGACAUUCAUGUGUAUGUAUUUGAAAAAUAAAAUAUUAUGAAGCUAAAUGAAUAAACACUUCUGAAAAGUAAAACCCGUUUCUGGUCCAUUUUGUAGCUUGAAGAAAUGAAGCAGAAGUCAAGAUUUCCUUGAAGAAACAAAAUUUUAUAAAAGUUAAAAACAAUUCGAUAAUUAUUGUCUUUUUAAAAAACGGAGCACGCAACACUCUUUUAUAUCAUAUUUCAAUUCUUAGAGUCUUCCUUCUACUACUCCAAAAGUGGUUCUAUUAUAGGCCACAUAUUAAUAGAUCGAUACAAAUUUAUUAAAAAGAUCCUUAUUUUCAACAAUCAAUAUCAGUUUGACUACAAAUUUAUCUGAAAUGACCCUUGUUAAUGGACUCUAGCUUAUAGGGUCAAACUUGGCUAUACAUGCCUCGGAGAAAAUUCACCAGUUCGUAGAAGAGACCUUUCUGCUAUCAACUCUAUGAAAAAUGCAGCACUUAUCAUCUAAAUAAAAAUCAGUAAGACUAUCUUAGAUUCUCUGAAGUGUUUAUAUUGCAGCCGCUUGUAUUGAAUACACACAUAAAUAACCACACAUAAUCAGCAAGGUUCGAAUUUUUUUGGUUUAACCAUAUCACCAACAUGAAGAAAAGACUUUCAAGCGUCAUAAUAGCUAAGAGCUUUUAUUUUCAGGAUAACCCCGGUCUAGAUUAUUAUAAAAAACUUGUUUAUAUGGAGACAUAAUAAAGGUCCCAGAAUUUUUUACUCUUCAAGAUUUCCGUUUCUAGCCAAAUUUUUUGACCAUAAAUAAUAUAUUGGUUUUACCUGAAAACAAAAUUUAAAGAAAAUUCAAAUUUUUUUAUUACUUCUUUUCUUUUAUUAUUACUUCUUUUCUUUUAUUUUGAAAUUGCAAAACAGCUCAAAGUAGUUCUAAAAGAAUCAUUCUCCCCGCUAGAAUCAGUUACAAUUAAGGUUGACAAGAUGUUUUAGCUGCGAGUUCUUCAAAUUAUUGCUCGUAAGGUCCACGACAGCUUAGAUAGUCACCAAAACUUUGGCCUGUGGAUUAAGUUGAUGAAAUCUAGUGUAUUAGAAUCAAUGACAGCACUAUUUUAUGGGAUUGAUGCUCACUCUUCAUAUUAUGUGUUUUUCUAAUGUGUGUGUCCAAAUACACACAAUAAACACUAAAUUUGAUAAAAAAUCGUAAUAUUAGUCAUUCCGCUCAUAAAUUUCAAGUGGAGAAGAAAGAGUUUCUCAAAAAAAAGUGGAGAAGAAAGAGCAUCGUGAUUGUCAUUGUACCCUUAAAAUUUGUUCGAUUAGGUUUUUUACAUAGUUUGCGCGUGGUCAUCUGGGUAUGCCUUCAUUAUAUUAAGCCAAUCUAGUAAUUCCAUAUUAAACAAGUUUAAAAUUUUCAAAUUUUGAUCUUAAUAAAAUUGAAAAAAUAGUGAACUUUUUCUUAUUUAUGAUAUUAACAAAUCUCUUACUUUUUUAUUACUGUAUUCAACUAAAUAUUUUUUACAAACCCUCAUAAAUGCAUCACAUCAGUUAUGAAAUUUAAAACAAAUAUAUCCAAUUUCUUCGAGAAAGAUGGUUGUAUAAUUUUUAAUUAAAAAAUUUAAUUAUUUUUAUUUUUAACAUAAUUUACAACUAAAAAAAUAUUAUAUGUUCACUGCUUUGUAAUAUAAUUAAAUAUAUCUUAAAUACAGUUUUUCCUAUAUAUAUGCUAACCUCGAGAGACGUUGAAGAUCAUCCCAAACAAAAUUUGAAAGGGAAAAUGAAAAUGAGGAAUUGCAACCUCUGUUUUUUCACCAUCAGUAUGAUGCUCAUCUUCUUGCAGUUGCAGCACCACCUGGUGGCUUGUUCAUUAAGCCCCCACUUGCAGAAACUUGCCUUGUUCCACUUUAACCAAACCUUCACAAUCACUCCUGGGGAUUGCGAGUAUUAUUCCUACAAAGACGAAGAAUUUUACGAAAUUCCUUCACGGGCAAAGACAAAGAACUGGAGCAUGAGUUCUGAUCACUGCACAUGGGAUGGAGUUAGCUGCGACGACAAGACGGGGGACGUAAUUGGACUGGAUUUAACUUGCGGUCAGCUGGUAGGAGCCAUACACUCAAACAGCACUCUUUUCCAACUCUCUCAUCUUCGCUUCCUCGACCUUUCUUACAAUGACUUUUCCCUCUCCGAUCAGUUCCCUCAGGAAUUUGGCUUCUUUGCAAAAGGAUUGACGCAUCUCAACCUCUCUCGUACUGGAUUAUCAGGGAGAGUUACCUCAGGAAUCUCUCAUUUGCAUAAACUGGUCUCACUUGAUCUCAGUGAGAACUUUGAAGCUGAACUUGAAGCAGAAGUGUUUAAAUCACUAUUGCAGAAUUUAACGCAUCUCAGAGUGCUUAAUCUUCAUGAAGUUAACAUCCCAUCUGUUUUGCCGGUGAAUAUCUCUACUUCUCUAAGAGUUCUUCAAUUGUCGUAUACUCAUAUACACGGAGUAGUACCGCAAGAAGUUUUCCACCUUCCCAACUUGGAAUUACUUGAUUUAUCAAAUAAUCACGACCUGAGAGCUACAUUAUCCAAAGUUAAGUGGGGAAGUAAAGCUACUCUCCAAUACCUUCAUCUUUCAUACAUCAACAUAGAUGGAGGUAUACCUGACUCAAUAGGCUUUUUGGAGUCAUUAGUCAGUUUAGAUCUGCUCGACUGUAAUUUGUCUGGGACGAUGCCAAGAUCCAUUGGACACCUCGUUCAACUUACUCACUUGGACCUCUCUUUUAAUAAUCUCAAUGGCCCAAUUCUAACUUUUUUUACAAACCUUACUGACUUAAGAUAUAUGUCCCUUGGGCUUAACAAUUUUACUGGUCCGUUUCCCUCUUUUCUUGCCCACUCUAGUAAACUAGUUGAGUUGUAUCUUUAUGGUAAUAGGUUUACUGGAUCCGUACCUCGUUCGUUGUUUCACCAUCCAUCGUUAGAGUUCUUGAAUUUGGCAUAUAAUGCAUUCACAGGUCAACUCCAUGAAUUUGAUUCUUCUCGAUCUCGGCUGCAAUCUUUUUCUUGUUCCAGCAAUUUACUCUAUGGAUCCAUUCCUCAUUCAUUUUCUCAACUUGUGAAUCUCACUGAACUAGACUUUUCAUCAAACAGUUUCAGCGGGGUUUUGGAUUUGGAAAUGUUUUCAGGCCUCGGAUUUCUAAAACGUCUUGAUCUUUCUCAUAACAGUCUUUCAGUGAGAAGUACAAUUACGGACACUCUCCCUCCCAAUCUUUACCACUUGGACUUGUCAUCAUGUAACAUGAAAGAGUUUCCUCACUUUUCAAGAGAUGCACACAUCUUCCUGGAUUUUGUAGACCUAUCAAACAAUGAAAUUGAAGGGGAAAUUCCACACUGGAUUGGGUCGAUAGGGAGGUACUCUGUCUACUAUCACAUCCCCUAUCUGAAUCUUUCUCACAACAAACUAAUAGGCGGUCUUGAGCAAUUGCCUUGGGGUCAUAUUAGGUUUCUUGAUCUCCAAUACAAUAAGCUGAAUGGAUCAUUGCCCACCUUGAUGUGUAAUUCCAGCUCUCUUUAUAUUCUAAAUCUCUCUCACAACAAUUUGAGUGGUGUACUACCCAGUUGUCCUACAAAUUUGACUCGUCUUUCAGUGUUGGAUCUGCGGAGGAAUAAAAUUCAGGGAAACAUUCCAGCAACCUUGUCAAAUUUCCGUAACCUGGAAACUAUUAAUUUGAAUGGAAACCGAUUACAAGGAAGCAUUCCUUCUUCUUUUGCUGAAUUUGAUUCUUUAGCCAUUCUUGAUCUUGGAAAUAAUAAGAUAAAUGAUACAUUCCCCCGGUGUUUGGAAGCUCUUCCAAAUCUUCAAGUUCUUGUUCUCAAAUCAAACAAGUUUUAUGGUCUUAUAAACACUAGUUCUAAGAUUGUAUACCCAUUUCCUAGAUUGAGAAUCAUUGAUCUGUCGGACAAUGAGUUUUCCGGUCCACUGCCAGCGAAAUACUUCAGAAACUUCAAGGCUAUGAUGAAUAGUGAUGUAAGCAAAAUAGAUCGCAGUUAUAUGAAUUAUAGUUCCUAUUACAGUGAUUCCACGACUCUGGUGAUUAAAGGAGUAGACAUGGAGUUGGUAAAGAUAUUAACUAUUUUUACAACCAUGGAUGUCUCAAGGAACCAUUUUGAAGGGGAGAUUGUAGAAUCAAUUGGAAAUCUGGUGUCACUUAGACUUCUCAAUUUAUCUCACAAUCAUCUCAGAGGCCGCAUACCAUUCAUGAUUGGAAAUUUGUCAAUGCUGGAAUCACUAGACCUCUCAUUCAACCAACUUGAAGGAGAAAUUCCGCAACAGCUCACCAGUAUAUAUACACUUGAACGUCUUAAUCUGUCAUGCAACCAACUCAGUGGUCGUAUUCCACAAGGUUCUCAGUUUAAUACAUUUGAUAAUGAUAGCUAUGCUGGUAACUUGGGGCUGUGUGGAAAUCCAUUGUCCAAAAAGUGUGAACCUGAUAUUGUGGAGAAAGAAAGUGACGAAGAUGAGGAUGAUGAUUACUUCUUUAGUGGAUUUACUUGGGAAGCGGUGGUGAUUGGAUAUGGGUGUGGAGUGGUGCCUGCAUUUAUCACUGGCUACCUGAUGUUGUUGGCACGGAAACCAAAAUGGUUUGCUGGAAUCAUUGGCAGGGAAUUGGGCCUGAAGAUCAGGAGGAUGGAGAUUAGAAUGCGAUAACUAAAGGUUUGCUGUAAUCUAUAUCCCAUUUGUAGGUCUUCAAUAUUCAGUAAUAAUAUAGUAAUAUCUGCUAUCAUAUAAUUCUAUAUUUGCAGAUUGGAGAGGCAUGAACAUUUUGGCAUGUAAGUUGAUGGGACAAGCAGGAUUCAGAUGCACAUGAAUCAACUACUUCGGUGUUGUAGGCAGCUAGGUUAAUAAACCACUACUUGAGCUGUUAAGCAUCUUUGGUCAUUUUAAAUAUAAAUUGUACAAUAAAAGAUACUUACUCUGCACAUAUUCUAAGUUCCAUAUACAAGUUCUGUAUUGUUUAGUUACUCUGCACAAACUCUAAGUUAGUUUCAACCACUGGGGUGUAAGCAGCCAAGUUAAUAAACCAGCAGUUUCUGUAGCUUUCACAACGUUGCUUCAUAUUAUUUUCCCCCUUGUUAGAUGAGCAAUAUAUUUGUGGAAUGGAUGUACCUGAAUUUGGUAUCCGAAGCUUAGUUAUAGAAAUUGUAGAUCAGCUAGUUUGCAACUUACUGGAAUGCUUUCCAUUGGACUUGAUUUACUCGUAGAGAAGCAGCACGCAAUGUUAAGGAAGGCCUGAUACAUAAUGUAUUUAAGAUAAUGUUUUGCAUCAAUUAUUACAAAAAGCUACUACUUUAAAUUGAUGAACAUUUACUAUAGCAGUACUGUGGUAUUAAAGUGAGUACUAAUAUUAGUGGCGGAGGCAGAACACAAUGUUAGGGGGGCACUUUUUAAUUUUUAACAUUCUAGGGGCAAUUUUUAACAUUCCAGGGGACACAAAAAAUAAUAUUUUGUAGAUUAAUAUUAUCAAAUAGAGUUAAGUUCUAUGGAGUACAUAAAAACAUUAGAGUAUUGGAGUACAAAUCAUAAUUUUUUUUAGUUUGAUUCUAUAUAAUAUCUUUGAAUAUCCAAAUUUUGAUAUAAUCUAUCAUUUAUAAGUUGUGUUGCACAUAAUUGUCAAUUAAUCAUUAAUAUCUUUCAACUUUAACAAAGAUUAAGAUUAUUGUUCUGCUUAUUAGUUAUAUUGCAGAACAUAGAGUCCUAUGAUUUAUAAAAGUAAUUAUUCUACCAUUUGAUCAUGAUGUUUAUGUUGCAGAACAUAAUGUGCAGGUUGUCAAAUAUUUACAAAUAUUAUUGGACAAAAAAAUUGAAAUUUAGAUGACUAAAUUACAUUUUAUCAAACUUUGUACUCCAAUACUCCAAUUUUUUUUUGUACUCCAUAGAACUUAACUCUUAUCAAAUAUAUGGAUCUUAUAUAAAAACAUACACAUUUUUCUGAAACUUAUGAGGGCAUGGGCACCCAGAGGCCCCCAUGUCCCUCCGCCUCUGCUAAUAUAAGAUGUUAGUCGAGUUCGAAGAAGUUUUGGAAUUCUUUUUAUUGAGAGUUUUUGCAAAACGUGGUUAGGAAAUUGAGAAUUUUGAGUUUUAAAAUUAGCUGUAAAAAAUAAUCGGUCAAUUGUAUUAGAUAUUACAUGCAUUUGAGUUUUAAAAUUAGGUGUAAAAAAUAAUGGGUCAACUGCAACAGAAAUGAAUUGGUUUGGUUUCACCCGGAAGAGUUCUGCACUUCACACUCUAGAUUCCAGAAAUAAAAAAAUUCAAAUAUAAAAUGUCAAAUAUUUUAGUUUAUACUCCCUCCGUCCAUUUUAGAUUUUUAGUUGUCACUGCCGGUCAAAUUGACCAAAAUUUGACUAAAAUUUAUUAAUAUUUUAUUAAUUGAAAAAAUAAAAAAAUUAUGUUACCACAAAUUACUUUCAAUCUACAUGAAAUUUUCAAUUUUUUAAAAUAAUGAAGAAGUAACUUGUAAUCUUUGAUCAAAAAUUAGUUAAUUUGACAUAAAAAAAAAAUUGUUACAACUAAAAUGGACCAAGGAAGUACAUAAGAUUUGCUAGUUACCUGCUUACCUUCACUCCUUAUGUCUUAAGCCACUCUUUAUUAUUUUUGAUUACAUAAUAAAUAUGUUUAAACUUUUAACUUUUUAUAUUUAAUAAAUUUAUAUAAUUUAAUUAUUAAAUUUUUUGAUUUGUAUUAAGUUUAAUUUAUAGAUACAUUUAUAUCAAAAUUACUAAAAUCAAUCAAAAUUUUAAUAUUUUGAUUCAGUAACCAGAAUAUAAAUAUAUUUAACUUUUGAAAUGAUAUAUAAAUAGUUUAUGAUUAAAAAAAAUUAAUAAGUAACUUGCACAAUUUCUCUUAAUUACAGUAAUAAAUCUCUUAUUAGUACUUUCAACUAAAUAUUUCUCCCAAACACUUAUAAUUUAUGUCCAAUUUUCAUAUUAUUUCUUUUAGAAAGAUUGUUGUAUUAUUUUAAAUUUUAGUAAUUAAAUCAGUUUUAUUUUUAUGAAUUCCAAAUUUAAAAACCUUAAUAUUUUUGUCACGCUACUUCUUAUUUGUAAUACAAAUUAUUUCUAGAUAAAAUUAAUAUAUUAAUAAAUAUAGUGUAAUUAACUACAUAUAAUACAUUGAAAUUAAAUAAAUAUGCUCUGUACAUUUUUUUCACAUGCAAAAAACUGCACUGUUUCGGUUUAAGCAAAGCUUGAUAAUCAGGACUCCUAGCUGGAAUGGCGAGUAUUAUUCCUACGAAGAAGAUGAUGUUCAUGAUAUCCCUUCACCCCCAAAGACAAUGAAUUGGAGCAUGAAUUCUGAUUACUGUGCAUGUGGGAUGGAGUUAGCUGCGACGAGAAUACAGGGGACCUAACCGGACUGGAUUUAAGCUGCAGUCAUCUGGUGCAUUGGAAUGAAAUUAUAGAACUUCUUCAGAGCCUGAUGCUCUCGAGGAUGCAGUAAUGAACAAGCCUAAUGAUGAUCAUGAGUCAUAACUCCGUCCUCGAGAGCCUGAUGCUCUCGAGGAUGCACUAAUGAACAAGCCUAAUGAUGAUCAUGAGUCAUAACUCCGUCCUUGAAUAAAGUGUCAUGAAACAUAUUUUGUAUUACAUUUUGUAUUAUUGGAAACUUGAUUUGAAACCAAAAUAGUUUGGUGGAAUCAUUGCCAGGGUAUUGGGUCUGAAGAUCGAGGAUGGAGAAUAAAUUGAUUUUGUUCAAAUAUUUAACACAAGCCCAUCAUCAUUAUCCAACACAAGCCCGGUCCAGUAUAGAGUUCUGGCAACUCCAUUGUUGAACACUUCUGUUGAAGUUGGCCUGUCUGGCAGACAAGAGGCCCUGUUUUAGAGGUGAUAUAUGCGCACAGGUAAAAAAUGUAUAUUUCUUCCAAUAGAUUACAUCUCUUUUCUUCAAAAUUUAUUGUAGUUUCAAAAAGUAGCAUUUGAGAACUCAUUCUAUUCCCCUUUUAAAUACUUGGUCUUGGUCAAUACAAACACGAUUAAGACCGGUGUCAAUAUCCCUCAUAAUUUUUCCACUCCUUUGAAUGGCAUUCUACAAUCCACAUAUCAGACUCAUAAAUAAUUAGUUGAAAUCAUUACCAUAGUCCAUAGCGAAAAGACUUUCACCAUUGAACCAUUGCAUAGAUAAUUGAAGAAAGAAACUUCAACAUAUUUGCAUAUCUUUAUCUAUCUUUUUUUCUAGUCAUCAACAGGCACAAGCUGUUGAUUUUUAUAUGUUCUUAAUUGGUAUAAGCAUUUAAGGUGAGUGUUGAUAUUUCUCACUAAUCUUCUUCUGCUCUAAGUGACAUAUUAUUACAAUCCACAAAUUAGUAGACAGACUAAUAUGGUUAGUUGAGACCAUCAAUCUGGAGAACAGACUAAUACAUGUGUAGUAAUCUGAUCAUCAUUUAUUUGAUUACAAUAGAAAUUCGGCUUUGUUUAGUUCCAUCCUCGGGCUCUUCAUUUCUAAACAUAUUUGCUGAUACUUUUUAUUGUACAAUUUAGAAUAUUCCAUAAAAUUUUAUAUUCGGUGCUAGAUGAAUUUAUGUCUUGUUUUCAUUCCAUUCAUGAACUAAUGAAAAUUUUAAAAUUGGGUCAUAUUAGGCAGUGAUGCCACCUUUCUGGACCUGCAUUUCAUGACCACAAACUCCUAUUGUGCCAAAAAAUUCCAGCUGUUUCGUGAGAUUUUUCUACGUGCUCUUUUGUUCGGACUUGUUUGCUGAAUCCCACAAUAGACAAUAUUGAUGUUAACAACUCUUGCGUCAGUUACUAGACUCGUUGUUAGUAGCCCAUUCUUUACGGCAGACGUGGAAUUUACUUGAAGAAAUGAAGGUGUAAGAACAGGGGCGGAUCCAGCCUUCGCAUCUCACCCGGGCUGAAAGCCUGAAACACUUAUAACCUUGAAGGUAUACAGUGGAGGUGAAGAGGGGAAAAAAAUAUAUAUGGUACUGACAGUGACAUGGAAAUAUGGAUAUUAUUCUUUUAACCUGCUGCAGGGACUAUCAGCUGGUAAAUUCAUGUCAAAUCAAUUUUUUUGACNGCCGAGACGAGUCGGCGAGACGGCCGAGACGAGUCGUCGACGUGCGAGACGAGUUGGCGCGAGACGGGCGAAGCGAGACAUCUCCGAGACGAGUCAUGCGUGCGUGCCGAUACGUACGAGCCGAGACGAGGCGUCCACGUUUUCUCAAACCCAGGCUCGUGAUCGCCUCGUCUAUUUNACUAUAACUAAUAAUUCAUGUCAAAAUCAAGAUUAUAAAAAUUAAUAAUAUGACUACAAAAAUAAAAUAUAAACGUAAGGUAAUAACAUAUGGUAAACCUGAAUAUAUUUUAGUAACAAUUGUUUUGACAUAGUUAGAUUAAGGGAUUAAAUUAUUAUAUAAAAUAAUAAAAGUAGCUAUAUAUUAAAAAAAUAAAGCUAUAUUUAUAUAAUUAGUUUAAACACGUCAAAAGGUCAAAAAGCAAGAUUAAACCGCUUAGCUUAUAUAAACACCAUGACCGACUGUUUGACCUAAACUAAACAAAUUUAUAUUUAAAAUACAAAAUUACAUGAAUAAAACCGAAAUAGGGUUACAAUUCAUAAAAGUUAACAGCAACUCUGGUUAAUUAAUAAAGUUCCAGACCCAAAACUGAGAAAAGUGUCGGGCUUUUUAAAAUUUUAGACCGGGCUAAAGAUCAGUAAACUUUCGUCGAGGCUGGUAAAAUUUUUUGUAUCAUAAAACUCACCCGGGCUUUAGCCCACCGGAGCCCAUACAUAGAGAAAGUUGAGAACAUUUUGUUGAUUAUUCCCUUCCCUAGAAACUGCACUCCGCCAUCAAAGUACCUUUCAAAGACUCCAGCAUCAUUUCUUGAUUAUCAAAGUCUUCGUCUUUGUCAUCUCCUGCUCUGAAAGUGUUUCUAUUGCAGACCACAUAUUAGUAGACAGACUACUAAAAUUCAUCUAAAAUGACCUCUCUGCGUGGGCUCUUUUGAACAAUCAGGGUUGGACAUGAUUCUACACGCAUCAGAGAAAAACUAUCAGCUGGCUAAANUCUUCAAAAUUUAUUGUAGUUUCAAAAAGUAGCAUUUGAGAACUCAUUCUAUUCCCCUUUUAAAUACUUGGUCUUGGUCAAUACAAACACGAUUAAGACCGGUGUCAAUAUCCCUCAUAAUUUUUCCACUCCUUUGAAUGGCAUUCUACAAUCCACAUAUCAGACUCAUAAAUAAUUAGUUGAAAUCAUUACCAUAGUCCAUAGCGAAAAGACUUUCACCAUUGAACCAUUGCAUAGAUAAUUGAAGAAAGAAACUUCAACAUAUUUGCAUAUCUUUAUCUAUCUUUUUUUCUAGUCAUCAACAGGCACAAGCUGUUGAUUUUUAUAUGUUCUUAAUUGGUAUAAGCAUUUAAGGUGAGUGUUGAUAUUUCUCACUAAUCUUCUUCUGCUCUAAGUGACAUAUUAUUACAAUCCACAAAUUAGUAGACAGACUAAUAUGGUUAGUUGAGACCAUCAAUCUGGAGAACAGACUAAUACAUGUGUAGUAAUCUGAUCAUCAUUUAUUUGAUUACAAUAGAAAUUCGGCUUUGUUUAGUUCCAUCCUCGGGCUCUUCAUUUCUAAACAUAUUUGCUGAUACUUUUUAUUGUACAAUUUAGAAUAUUCCAUAAAAUUUUAUAUUCGGUGCUAGAUGAAUUUAUGUCUUGUUUUCAUUCCAUUCAUGAACUAAUGAAAAUUUUAAAAUUGGGUCAUAUUAGGCAGUGAUGCCACCUUUCUGGACCUGCAUUUCAUGACCACAAACUCCUAUUGUGCCAAAAAAUUCCAGCUGUUUCGUGAGAUUUUUCUACGUGCUCUUUUGUUCGGACUUGUUUGCUGAAUCCCACAAUAGACAAUAUUGAUGUUAACAACUCUUGCGUCAGUUACUAGACUCGUUGUUAGUAGCCCAUUCUUUACGGCAGACGUGGAAUUUACUUGAAGAAAUGAAGGUGUAAGAACAGGGGCGGAUCCAGCCUUCGCAUCUCACCCGGGCUGAAAGCCUGAAACACUUAUAACCUUGAAGGUAUACAGUGGAGGUGAAGAGGGGAAAAAAAUAUAUAUGGUACUGACAGUGACAUGGAAAUAUGGAUAUUAUUCUUUUAACCUGCUGCAGGGACUAUCAGCUGGUAAAUUCAUGUCAAAUCAAUUUUUUUGACUUUAUAUAUAUAUAUACUCAUUUACAUAUAAAAAAAAUAUAAAAUUUAAGAAUCUCAAAUAUUGGAGGUAGCCUGAAUAACAUUUGUUUGUCACUAAUACAAUAAAAAUUAAUUUUGUAUGAUCAGCUACAUAGACUAAAUCAUUUUAUUUUAUUUAUUUUAAACUAUAACUAAUAAUUCAUGUCAAAAUCAAGAUUAUAAAAAUUAAUAAUAUGACUACAAAAAUAAAAUAUAAACGUAAGGUAAUAACAUAUGGUAAACCUGAAUAUAUUUUAGUAACAAUUGUUUUGACAUAGUUAGAUUAAGGGAUUAAAUUAUUAUAUAAAAUAAUAAAAGUAGCUAUAUAUUAAAAAAAUAAAGCUAUAUUUAUAUAAUUAGUUUAAACACGUCAAAAGGUCAAAAAGCAAGAUUAAACCGCUUAGCUUAUAUAAACACCAUGACCGACUGUUUGACCUAAACUAAACAAAUUUAUAUUUAAAAUACAAAAUUACAUGAAUAAAACCGAAAUAGGGUUACAAUUCAUAAAAGUUAACAGCAACUCUGGUUAAUUAAUAAAGUUCCAGACCCAAAACUGAGAAAAGUGUCGGGCUUUUUAAAAUUUUAGACCGGGCUAAAGAUCAGUAAACUUUCGUCGAGGCUGGUAAAAUUUUUUGUAUCAUAAAACUCACCCGGGCUUUAGCCCACCGGAGCCCAUACAUAGAGAAAGUUGAGAACAUUUUGUUGAUUAUUCCCUUCCCUAGAAACUGCACUCCGCCAUCAAAGUACCUUUCAAAGACUCCAGCAUCAUUUCUUGAUUAUCAAAGUCUUCGUCUUUGUCAUCUCCUGCUCUGAAAGUGUUUCUAUUGCAGACCACAUAUUAGUAGACAGACUACUAAAAUUCAUCUAAAAUGACCUCUCUGCGUGGGCUCUUUUGAACAAUCAGGGUUGGACAUGAUUCUACACGCAUCAGAGAAAAACUAUCAGCUGGCUAAAGACCUCUCUGCAUCAACUCUAUUAAGAAAAGAAACUAUGGCUCAUACAGUUUAAGUUGAUAUCAAAUCGUAAAUGAGAAUACUUGCAGUUUUAAAUUACUGCACGCUAUUUUUUUUAACGAAAAUAUGUGCAGUUUUAACAUAGUCUAAUUAUUUUCUUGAUGACGGCUAUGCAAAUUGUGAUAGUUGAAUUUUUUUUAUGGUCUUUGACAAGCAUCAAGGAAAUUGUGAUAGUUGAAUUACCCUGAUUGUCAAAAACUACCUCGUAAUCAGAACGGGUUUUUUUUUGAGUUUGUUAAGGAUUCUCUCCAGGCAAAAGUUUCUCUUAUGCAGUUGAAGGUGAAAAUUAAGUCGUUGAAGAGGAAAUAUAAGUCUCUCAAAGAUUAUGAUGUUGUGUUUGACAAACCCAUGGAAGAGGAAUUGUUUCGCCUUUCCGAUAAGGUUUGGAGCCAAGGGAUUGAUAAUCAGGGUAAUGCUGCUAGCAAGGACAAGGAUAUAAGUAUCGAGAUCAAAGAGGAUGGAGUGAUUGAGGACUGUAGGAAGGAUAAGGAUACGAGCAUUGGGAUAAAUGAGGAUGGAGUGAAUGAGGCCGGUAGGAAGGAAAAGGAUACGAGAAUCGGGAUAAAUGGGGAUGGAGUGAAUGAGGACGGUAGGAAGGACAACGAUAUGAGCAUCGGGAUAAAUGGGGAUAUGGUAGAAGCCUCCAGGCUAAUGUGUCGAAGGGGAGGACAUGGAUGCUAUGGAAAUUUAGUUAGGAGGAAAUAUAAAUCAUGCUAACAGGAGCAGAUGAUGAACUUGAUUGCAAUGAAGAACUGAAGUUCCACAACGAGAUGAAGUCGACGAAGGAAGGUAGGAAGGACAAGGAUACGAUCAUCAGUCUUGUAUUUAGCUUGAUCGAAAAUAACUGUUCUCUUCAAAUUCUUUCCCUNUCUCUACUCUGUAGCUUACACAUCAUUGAUUCAUAUUAUUUUCCCUUAGGAACUUGAGAGACAUUUGGCAUCUAAAGAAGCUUCUCUCCCGCAAGAACCAUCACCAGAUGAUGAUAAUGCCGUUAACCUGCUUGUGCGGAUGCCGGAUGGCGGCCGGCAAGGCCGCAGAUUCCUCAAGUCCCACAAGCUUCAGGUAUUUAUUCCGUGACAAUAUUUUUCCAGUUAUUGGUUAAAAGUUGUAUAAUUGGUUGUUACUUGAUUUGCAGCAUCUUUUUGACUUCAUCGAUGUUGGUCGGUUGGUCAGACCUGGUACUUACAGACUGGUAAUCCUUCAUGUGCUUUUUUACCUUUCACACUUAAUUCUUGUGGGGGCACACUUAUAUUUUUACAAAGUUUUAAAUGACGAAUAAAUUCCAAAUAAUUUUUAUGGGGGACAGUCCCCCUUGCUAGAUCCCCUCCUGGUGUCCAAACUUUUUUUACAUUUCAUAAUUGAUUGUCUGGACCGGCAAAGAGCAAUGAAUAUUCAUUUUAGUCACAUAGGAGUGUCGGGGUUUGUAUUGUUGUUAUGCUUGAUAGUAUAUAGAGAGCUUAUUGACUAGUUGACUCAACAUCGUUUCUUUUUCCUUUCCCCCAUCUUCUCUGGUGAUUAAUGUUUGCGUGAUCCCACUAGUCCUUCCGCAAAAAAAAAAAGAAGUUAUAUUGUAUUUUUAAAAUGAAUUGCAUUUCAAACUAUUUGUUUGAUAAGUAGGGUACUCGUGUAAUUUAAUUGUAAUAUCGAUACCUUUUUUUGUAACACCAAAGAAAAAUUAGAAUCUUUAUAGUGUCAGGACUCUUGAUACUUGGUAGAUGCUUGAGAAGAAGGCUGUAUUUGAAGAUAUGGAGAAUGUGGUAACCAUAUGACUAAGGUCAACUAACUUUUGCUUGCUAAAGUGGAACUCUGUCAAAAAUUUAUCUGUAUCUAUCUCUUUUUUGUAGUCAUCAGUAGAUUUACUCUUCCAUAUGUAUCAGGGUCAAGUUGUUGAAAUAUAUCAGUCCUUAAUAGGUGUUAGCACAAUUUAGAUGAGCAAAAUAUUUAAGGAACGUAUGUACUUCAACUUGGCAUGCAAAACGAGUUAUACAAAUGGUAGAUUAGCUAGUUGGUAAUUUAAUGAGAAUCCUUUCCAUUGGACUUGAUUCAUUGAUAGAGAAGCAAAGCACAAUGUUACUUCCUGAUACAUAAUGUAUUUAUGCCUCGUAUAGAUAUAUUAUGAUUGUUAGAAUUAAACAUGUUUUAUUUUGCACAGGCAAGGCCGUAUCCAAGACGGGCUUUUGGUGUUGGUGAGAGCUCAACAACUUUUGAUGAACUUGGCCUGUCUGGCAGACAGGAGGCCUUGUUUCUGGAGUUAAUAUAGCAGAUAUAGUUAUCGUAAAAUUGUAAUAGGAUCUCGAAGAGUUUACCCAGAUGGACCAACUUUGUUUGUUAGUUGUAAAAGUUGUUUAGAGAUGGAUAUUUUGUCAAAGUUUGUAUCUAUUGGGUAUUUGGUCUUUUAGUCAGACUGUGGCUCAUACAGUUUGAAGUUGAUAUCAAAUCUUAGAUGAGAAUGUUUGCAGUUUGAAAUUACUGAACAUUGUUUCUUGAAUUCGAUAUCGAAUUUUAAACGAGAAUAUGUCCAGUUCCACUACAAGAGAAAGCGAUUCUACCAAUGGAAUUUGCUAAGGGAAAUUAGUCCGUUGGUAGUUCCCAACGGAUUUGUAAUGAUUUGACUAGUCAAUGUUCUGCCAACCAAGUCGCAACGAAAUACCCACGUUUAUUUACCAACGAAACGUUCCGUUAAGAAAUAUAACCACAUAAUGGAAUAGUAACAAAAGGCCAAGGAAUGAGCAACAGACUAGUAACGAAAAUAUCUGUUAUUACGUUCAUUGAUAUUCCGUUGAUAAAUACUAACAAUUCCGUUAGUAAUUGAUUAUUAGUUUUAUAACAUGGACAAUUGAUAUACACUACAUGAGCAGUCUCUUAUUUGACAUUUGUGUCAUGCUAAAGCCCAAUGGGCUUUAGUCGAUUAAAUUGAUUUGGGUUGUAGAAAACGGCCAAUAAUAUAAUGGACUUUGAUAUGUAUCGUAAAUAUUAAGUAAUUUUCUUGGAUUUAUGUAUAUAACAUAAUUGUUAAUUGGCUCAUCCUUAACUAGAAAUUUUAUAUUACAUUCUUAACUAGAAAUUUUAUAUUUAAAAAAAAUUAAUCUUUUAUGUGGUAUGUGGAUUUUGUAGUCAAAUGCGGUCAAUUUACUUAGCCUUUGAUCGGAUACCUACCCAAAACAUAAAAAUAUUUUUUAUUUUCGAUGAUCCAGCUAUACGGAUAUUAUUGUAAUGUGAUAAUAUUGAUUAAAUUUUUUUUUAAAAAAGUAGCAUUUUAUUUGGUAUGUGAAUUUUGUAGUCAAAUGCAAUUAAAUUACUUAGUCUCUAAUGGAAUACUUGCCCGAAACAUAAAACUAUUUUCUUAAAACACAAUUUGGACGAUCCAACCAUACAGAUGUUAUUAUAACGUGUUAAUAUUGGUUAAAAUAAUUUUUAAGAAUAUAUGUCUUUUAUUUGGUGUGUGGAUCUUGCAGUCAAAUGCGGUCAAAUUACUUAGCCUUCAAUCGAAUACUUACCCAAAACAUGAAACUGUUUUUUUAAAAAUCAUUUCGGACGAUCCAACCGUACGGAUAUUAUUGUAAUGUGAUAAUAUUGAUUAAAUUUGUUUUUGAAAAAUUUUAGCUUUUGAUUUGGUGCGUGGAUUUUGUAGUCAAAUGCGGUCAAACUACUUGGCCUUUAAUGAAAUACUUACACGAAACAUGAAAUUAUUUUUUUUUAAAACCAUUUUGGAUGAUCCAACCGUGCGGAUGUUAUUAUAACGUGUUAUAUUGAUUAAAAUAUUAUUUAAAAAAUAGCCUUUUAUUUGGUGUGUGGAUUUUGUAGUCAAAUGCUCAAAUUACUUAGCCUUUAAUCGAAUACUUACCUUAAACAUGAAACUAUUUUUAAAAAAAUUAUUUUGGAUGAUUCAAACUGUAGGGAUGUUAUUUUAACAUCUUAAUAUUGAUUAAAAUUAUUUUAAAACAAUUUAGUUUUUUUUUAUGUGUGAAUAUUUUAGUCAAGUACGAUAAAUUAUUUAUUUAGCCUUCAAUGAAAAAUUAAAAAUCCCGCACAGCCAAAAGUUUUCCCUCGUUUUGUGAAUCUUCCCCAGCCAUUUCCCCCCAACCCCAACCCCGAAAUUCACAAAACUCUCCCCCCAAAUUAGCUCGGCCUCUCCCAAAUCUCUAUCUCUCUUUGUAUAUCUUUAGGUGUGUUUUGUAGAGGCGGCCACCUCCAAAGCUUCAAAAUAAUCAAACUUAUCACCGCCGCUGUUCGAGAAUGAAUUUCUUUUAGGAGAUUCGUCGAUUUAGUUAUCAAAUUAGUUACCAUUAGGGUUCUACUCCGAUUUUCAAUAGUAUGAUGUUGGGGUUCGAUUGGUCGAUUGUCAUGUUUUAUAAGUUAUGUGGGUUCGAUUUUGAUGUUUUUACAAUUAGGUUUAUGUAUGUUUUUAUACGGGUUUCAUGUUCAUGUUUCGAUUUGUUGAUUUCCUAUUUUUCCUAUAUGUUAAUUUGUUAUUUGUGUGGAUUUUGGAUUUUGAUGUGUGUGUGUGUAAUGCCCUGUUUUUUUUUCAUUUUUUCAGGUUCGAACACUUCGAUUAGUAGCCGGAAAAACAACUGAUGCGGCAGUAGCGGCUAGCAAGGAGAUGAAUAACAAGAAAAGGCCGAUUUCGAGGUCAUCUCGUGCAAGUCUUCAGGUAUAGUUUUAUUCCUUUAUAUUUUUAAUCGACAUAAAUCUAACAAGUAAUUAUAGUUCUAACAAGUAAUUAUAGUUCUGAAUGGGGAGCUUAUUGUGAAAUUGAAUUGAGGGACAAGUUGUGUUAUUGGUUCCAGUAGAUAAAUUUAUGUUGACACUUGAUAUAUGCAUUUUUCCACUAUGAUGCUCCCUUUGGUUUGCUUAAGGUCAAGUACCGUUACUUAAUGCAUUUACAAGUAUUCCAGAACAAGUUUGUGCGCCAUAGUGCUACCUUAAUCUAUGAAUUUGAUGCCAGGCACUUUAGGUGUUAUCUCUUAUUGAUUUUUUAUUGGAGAGUUUGGGUGUUUUCUGGAAGAAGUAUAUAGUGAGAGCAGAGGUUUUCAUUUUCGUCAUGAUUUACUCUAAUGUUUCUAAUGUUCACCUGUUAACUGCUGUAGAUUUGGGCUUUAUCUAUUUCUACAUAAUUUAUUUUUGUCUUUGUUGCUGCUUCUUGAUAAUUUUCAAUAAUUGAAACUUUUGUUACAAAUAUAUGCUUGCUAGUCAAUUGUAUGUAGAAAUCUCUAACAAAACUUUAACUUUUACCUUUGAAAUUUAGUUACGAAUUUAAAGAAUUUGACUAGAACUUCAGUCGGUGGAUUCUUGACAUUUUUAUGUAAAUCAUAUAGUAUUCAGGAGUUACCCUGUAAAAUGCCCACAAAUCUUAAAUUAAUUAGAAGUCAAGUAAUAAGCUUAAGGCCUCUGAGACUGUGUCUGCAUUCUAGAUUUCAAUACAUUCUAUAUCAUAAUGUUGUUAAACUGCUUUUUAGCAAGUGCUUGAGUUUUUGGUAUCUACAUAUAAGAUUAUCUAAGAUAUCAAUUUAUUCAUGAGAGCAGGUUGAUGACAAGUACCGAUACAUGUGUGAAAAAAAAAAAGAUAACAUGGUCCAUGGAGUUGGUUCUUUGCAAUCUCUCUUUUAUAAGCCGGAGAUUCCUUGCAGUCCAUCCUUUGCUGAUGCAGAAAAUCAGAAGUUGCACGAAGAACUAAAUGUGAUGAAGGAUAAGAUGAAAGCAAUGGAGAAUCAAAUAGCUAUGGUUGUGUUAGUACUAGCUAGUUUUCAAGCCUCGUUAGUAAUUGAUGGCUCCUUUUAGAUAUAAUACUUGAACACUAUUGUAUCGGGUAACUCUUAUCUCAUUUUGAAGAUCGUAAAGAAACGUUUAUUAUGUAAAAAGAGUACACUUUUGUUAUUUCUUUAUUUGCAUUUUUAUAGACAUAAAAAUGAACAAUUCUAGAAAAUGAAAAAUUUGCACUGUAUUUGAGCAUGCAUACCAACAGAAUAUGUUUAUAUCUACUAACGGAAAUUUAACAACCGAAAGAGUCUUUUAGUUCUUUGUUGUUAAAUUUAACAAUUUUGACUAUACUUAACAUCAGAUUUUCCGUUGGGAAUAUGUUGCUAGAAUUGCCAACCGAAUAUUCUGUUGGCGGGAUGGUGUUUCUUUUGUUAUUUUGCAAAAUAGAGGUCUGUUACGAGAUUGUUACUACUCGGUUGCUAACUUAGCAACGGACACCUAAUUCGGUUGGCGAGGUGCUUCCCAACGACGUUUACUCUAACGGUCCAGUUCAGUGGGCAUUCCGUUAGGAAUCUCUUUUACCAACGGAUUUUCUUGAUUUGCCAACAUAAUAUUUCGUUGGGAAUAAUGAAAUUUCUUGUAGUGUUCUAACUUGAAAGUUAUGCAAAUUACGUUAAUAAUAUCAUCAAUUUUGAGUCUCUUGGUCUUCGGUCUUCUAUUGCAGCAUAUCAUACACUUCUCAAGUGAUUGAAAAUGAACUCUCUCCAAAAGGCAAGGGGUCUGUCGAAGUAGACCUGGAAUUGAUUUUACUUGAAGAAACAAUAAUAGUUCACCUUUUAAAGUUUUGGUCUUUGUCUUUUGUCUCUCAAAGUCUUGAUCUUUGUCGUUUACAUCUCAUACAAUUUGCUAUCGUAUUGAACACUUCACACAAUUUCAUACUAUCGUAUUGAACACUUCACACUUCACACAAUUCCAUAAUAUUGAAGAUUUUUGGCUUGAAAUAUUCUAGAGAAUAAGAUUGUACAUAAAAUCCAACAAUUUAUUUCCUUUUCUACAAUAUUACAACUCAUAUAUUUGUUGCCAAUGACUCAUUCAAUUCGCAUCAAUUACUAUCAUCUUCACUUUAUCAAAGAGUCUUGCUCUUUGUCCUCUACAUGCUUUUAUCACGGUCCCCAUGUUAGUGUGAUUUGAAAAUACUUGUGUUACAGUCCACAUAUUGAUAAAUAGACAAAUUAUAAUAUUUAGUUCAUUAAUGAAUAGAUAAGACGUUCAUGUGUAUGUAUUUGAAAAAUAAAAUAUUAUGAAGCUAAAUGAAUAAACACUUCUGAAGAGUAAAACGCGUUUCUGGUCCAUUUUGUAGCUUGAAGAAAUGAAGCAGAAGUCAAGAUUUUCUUGAAGAAACGAAAUUUUAUAAAAGUUAAAAACAAUUCGAUAAUUAUUGUCUUUUCAAAAAACGGGGCACGCAACACUCUUUUAUAUCAUCUUUCAAUUCUUAGAGUCUUCCUUCUGCUACUCCAAAAGUGGUUCUAUUAUAGGUCACAUAUUAAUAGAUCGAUACAAAUUUAUUAAAAAGAUCCUUAUUUUCAACGAUCAAUAUCAGUUUGACUAUAAAUUUAUCUGAAAUGACCCUUGUUAAUGGACUCUAGCUUAUAGGGUCAAACUUGGCUAUACAUGCCUCGGAGAAAAUUCAUCAGUUCGUAGAAGAGACCUUUCUGCAUCAACUCUAUGAAAAAUGCAGCACUUAUCAUCUAAAUAAAAAUUAGUAAGACUAUCUUAGAUUCUCUGAAGUGUUUAUAUUGCAGCCGCUUGUAUUGAAUACACACAUAAAUAACCACACAUAAUCAGGAAGGUUCGAAAUUUUUUGGUUUAACCAUAUCACCAACAUGAAGAAAAGACUUUCAAGCGUCAUAAUAGCUAAGAGCAUCUCCAACGGCAUUGGCUAUAAUCGUUGGCUAAAUUAGACAUGUAAGACAUUAUGUAAAAUUUGCUGAACCUGUAAGACAUUUUGCUUCAAUGGUAUUGGCUAUAUUAAUUAGUUGGCUAUAAUUUAAAAAUAGUAUGUUAUUAAUAUUUUAAAUUGUUAAAAUAGAAUAUAUCAGUUCAAUAUGGUAAUAAAUGAUUUACAAUCUUCCUACAGAUUUUCUUACAAACCUGUAGAGGUUCAACAAAUUUAGUCAUCCAUAGGAGGUUGGCUAAAUUUAUAGACAACAGCUGAGCAUGGUUGGAGGUGAGUUUUUGGAGCUGUUACCUAAAUUUUUUUAUUUUAAGUAUGUUAACUCACAUUUUAGCCAAGGGUUUUAGAUGGUUGGAGAUGCUUUGAGAGUUUUUUAUAUUCAGGAUAGCCCCGGUCUAGAUUAUUAUAAAAAACUUGUUUAUAUGGAGACAUAAUAAAGGUCCCAGAAUUUUUUACUCUUCAAGAUUUCCGUUUCUAGCCAAAUUUUUUGACCAUAAAUAAUAUAUUGGUUUUACCUGAAAACAAAAUUUAAAGAAAAUUCAAACUUUUUUAUUAGAGUACUUCUUUUCUUUUAUUAUUACUUCUUUUCUUUUAUUUUGAAAUUGCAAAACAGCUCAAAGUAGUUCUAAAAGAAUCAUUCUCCCCGCUAGGAUCAGUUACAAUUAAGAUUGACAAGAUGUUUUAGCUGCGAGUUCUUCAAAUUAUUGCUCGUAAGGUCCAUGACAGCUUAGAUAGUCACCAAAGCUUUGGCCUGUGGAUUAAGUUGAUGAAAUCUAGUGCAUUAAAAUCAAUGACAGCACUAUUUUAUGGGAUUGAUGCUCGCUCUUAAUAUUAUGCGUUUUUCUAAUGUGUGUGCCCAAAGACACACAAUAAACACUAAAUUUGAUAAAAAAAAUCGUAAUAUUAGUCAUUCCGCUCAUAAAUUUCAACCAGAGAAGAAAGAGCAUCGUGACUGUCAUUGUAUCCUUAAAAUUUGUUCGAUUAGGUUUUUUACAUAGUUUGCGCGUGGUCAUCAGGGUAGGCCUUCAUUAUAUUAAGCCAAUCUAGCUAGUAAUUCCAUAUUAAACAAGUUUAAAAUUUUCAAAUUUUGAUCUUAAUAAAUUUGUAAAAAUAGUAAACUUUUUCUUAUUUAUGAUAUUCACAAAUCUCUUACUUUUUUAUUACUGUAUUCAACUAAAUAUUUUUUAUAAACACUCAUAAAUGCAUCACAUCAGUUAUGAAAUUUAAAACAAAUAGUUUAUAGCCCGUGUAAGGCACGGGAGUUUUUUAAUUAUUUAUAAAUUUCUUAAAUAUAUUUUAAAUGGUGUGAAAAAAUUUAAUUUAUAAAUAAUAAAUUAAAAUUUUCAAUAAAAUAAAAUUCGAAAUUAUAAUUUGUUUGUAAGUUAGAACUGUGGUAAAUACAUCAUCAAGCCCAUUAAUGGUUUCAAAUAAACUAUUGUAAUGAAGCCAUUCUUUUUCUCGUAUGUACCGUGGCAAAGAAUUAAAUUCUGUUUAUCAAAUUUUAAUAUAUUUUGAGUGGAAUACGUUAUUGCCAACUCUUAUUAGAUUAUAUUUAUAAAUGUAUUUUAUAUUAGAAUUAUUAUAGUGUGAUUUAAAUAGUCCGCAAGGGUUAGUUUAGCUGGUUAAAAAGAGGACAUGUAUCCUCUUGGUCACAGGUUCGACUCUCAAAGGGUGGAUUAACGCUAUUGCGUGAUCCACUCCCAAAGGGUGGAUUAACCCUCCAAAGGGUAGCUGUUGCGGGUUCCUAGAUUACAAAAAAAUAAAAAAAUAUAUAAUGUGAUUUAAAUAUUUUUCAAAAAAUUUAUAUGGUUCCAAAUUAAAAUUGAUAAACAUAAUUUGUUGUGAUUUAAAUAUUUUUCAAAAAAUUUAUAUGGUUUCAAAUUAAAAUUGAUAAACAUAAUUUGUUUUUGAAUUAAGAAAAGGAAUCAUAAACAUGCAAUAAGAAGGUAGAAUCUAUUUUGGAUUAAGAAAAAGUUUUUGUAUUUGCUAAUCACAUAAAUCCGGCUUAUUAAUUUUAAAAUAUAUUAUAAAAAAAUUGUGACGGUGAGAUUUAUAUGAUUAAAAAAUUUUUGUAUUUGCUAAUCACAUAAAUCCGGCUUAUUAAUUUUAAAAUAUAUUAUAAAAAAAUUGUGACGGUGAGAUUUAUAUGAUUCUACGAAUAAAACUGGUAGAAAAUAUUUAUUUGGGAUUAAAAAAAUCAUAUACACGUGAAAGACAUAAUUUGUUUUGGAUUCAGAAAAAAAAUUAUAAAUAUGCAAGGUGAUAUCAGUUGCCUUGUAGAACAGAAGUUGAUUUUCGAAUCUAACGGUGCUUAUUUGUUCAAUAUAAGAUGCAACGGAUGAUAAACUUUUGGACCAGAGAACCAUGCGACCAAAUUAUCUCCCUUACGCUUAUUAUAUAUAAGUAUAUAAUAUGUCCAAUUUCUUUGAGAAAGAUGGUUGUAUAAUUUUUAGUUUAAAAUUUUAAUUAUUUUUAUUUUUAAUAUAAUUUACAACUAAAAAGUUUUAUUAUAUUUUGACUGCUUUGUAAUACAAUUAAAUAUAUCUUAAAUACACUUUUUCCUAUAUAUAUACGCUAACCUCGAGAGAUGUUGAAGAUCGUCCGAAACAAAAUUUGAAAGGGAAAAUGAAAAUGAGGAAUUGCAACCUCUGUUUUUUCACCAUCAGUAUGAUGCUCAUCUUCUUGAAGUUGCAGCACCACCUGGUGGCUUCUUCAUUAAGCCCCCACUUGCAGAAACUUGCCUUGUUUCACCUUAAGCAAAGCUUCACAAUCACUCCUCCUCGCUUCCCUUGCUCCUAUUAUUCCUACGAAGAUAAUGAGGGGUAUGAAAUUCCUUCUCGGCCAAAGACAAUGAGUUGGAGCAUGAGUACUGAUCACUGCACAUGGGAUGGAGUUAGCUGCGACAACAAGACAGGGGAUGUUAUCGGACUGGAUUUAAGUUGCAGUCAGCUGGAAGGAGCCAUUCUUCCUAACAGCACUCUCUUCCAACUCUCUCAUCUCCGCUUCCUCAAUCUUUCUCAUAACAACUUUUCCCUCUCCAGUCAGUUCCCUCCGGAAUUUGGUUUCUUUGCAAAAGGUCUGACGCAUCUCAACCUCUCUAAUAGUUAUUUAUCAGGGAGAGUUCCCUCUGGAAUCUCUCAUUUGUAUAAACUAGUCUCACUUGAUCUCAGUGACAAUGAUGGGACUAAACUUGAAGAAGAAGUAUUUAAAUCAAUGUUGCAGAAUUUAACGCAUCUCGGAGUGCUUAAUCUUAAUAACGUUAAUAUCUCCUCUAUUUUUCCCGUGAAUAUCUCUACUUCUUUAAGAGUUCUUCAAUUGUUGUAUACUGGUAUACACGGAGUAGUACCCCAAGAGGUUUUCCACCUUCCCAACUUGGAAUUACUUGAUUUAUUAUAUAAUUACGACCUGAGAGCUACAUUACCCAAAGUUAAGUGGGGAAGUAAAGCUACCCUCCAACACCUUCAUCUUUCAGAAAUCAACAUAGAUGGAGGUAUACCUGACUCAAUAGACUUUUUAAAGGACUCAUUAGUCAGUUUGUAUCUGGGCGGCUGUAAUUUGUCUGGGCCUAUACCAAGAUCCAUUGGGCACCUCGUUCAACUUACUCAGUUGGGCCUCCAUGAUAAUAAUCUCAAUGGCCCAAUUUUAACUUUUUUUACCAACCUUACAGACUUAAGAUAUAUCUACCUUGAAGGUAACAAUUUUACGGGUCCGUUUCCCUCUUUUCUUGCCCACUCCAGUAAACUAGUUGUGUUGCAUAUUGAGAGUAAUAGCUUUACUGGAUCCCUACCUCGUUCGUUGUUUCACCAUCCAUCCUUAGAGUACUUGUUUCUGGAACUUAAUGCAUUCACGGGUCCACUACAUGAAUUUGAUUCUUCUCGGUCCCGGCUGCAAUAUUUUUCUUGUUCCAGCAAUUUACUCAAUGGAUCCAUUCCACAUUCAUUUUCUCAACUUGUCAAUCGCACUGACCUAGAUUUUUCUUCAAACAAUUUCACCGGGGUUUUGGAUUUGGAAAUGUUUUCAGGUCUCGAAUUUCUAGAACGUCUUGAUCUUUCUGAUAACAGUCUUUCAGUGACAAGUACAAUCAGUGGCACCCUCCCUCCUACGCUUAUAUACUUGGGCUUGUCUUCUUGCAACAUGAAAGAGUUUCCUCGCUUUUGAACAGAUGCAAACAUCUUCCUGGAUUCUAUAGACCUGUCAAACAAUAAAAUUGACGGGGAAAUUCCACACUGGAUUGGGUCGCUGGGGGUGUCCUAUCUGAAUCUUUCUCACAACAAACUAAUAGGCGGUCUUGAGCAACUGCCUUGGGGUUAUAUUAAUUAUCUUGAUCUCCAAGACAAUAAGCUGAAUGGAUCGUUGCCCACCUUGAUGUGUAAUUCCAGCUCUCUUGAGAUUCUAAAUCUCUCUCACAACAAUUUGAGUGGUGUACUCCCCAUUUGUCAUACAAAUUUGACUCAGCUUUCGGUGUUGGAUCUGCGGAGGAAUAAAAUUCAAGGAAACAUUCCAGCAACCUUGUCAAAUUUCCAUAAUCUGGAAACCAUUAAUAUGAAUGGAAACCAAUUACAAGGAAGCAUUCCUUCUUCAUUUGCUGAAUUUGAUUCUUUAGCCGUUCUUGAUCUUGGAAAUAAUCAGAUAAAUGAUACAUUCCCCCGGUGUUUGGAAGCUCUUCCAAAUCUCCAAGUUCUUGUUCUCAAAUCUAACAAGUUUUGUGGUCUUAUAAACACGAGUUCUAAGAUUGUACACCCAUUUCCUAGCUUGAGAAUCAUUGAUCUGUCGGACAAUGAGUUUUCAGGUCCACUGCCAGCAAAAUACUUCAGAAACUUCAAGGCUAUAAUGAAUAGUGAUGUAAGCAAAAUAGAUCGUAGUUAUAUGAAUCAUAGUUUCUAUUACAGUGAUUCCACGGCUCUGGUGAUUAAAGGAGUAGUCAUAGAGUUGGUAAAGAUAUUAACUAUUUUUACAACCAUGGAUGUGUCAAGGAACCAGUUUGAAGGGGAGAUUGUAGAAUCAAUUGGAAAUCUGGUGUCACUUAGAUAUCUCAAUUUAUCACAUAAUCAUCUCAGAGGCCACAUACCACGGUCGAUUGGAAAAUUGACUGUGCUGGAGUCACUAGACCUCUCAUCCAAUGAACUUGAAGGAGAAAUUCCUCCGCAACUCACUGGUUUAUAUUCACUUGCAGUUCUAAAUCUUUCUUGCAACCAACUUAGAGGCCGUAUACCAGAAGGGUCACAAUUCAAUACGUUUGAAAUCUACAGCUACGCCGGGAACUUUGAAUUGUGUGGAAAACCCUUGUCAAAAAAGUGUGAAAAUUAUGUGAGGGUACACAAAGAAGACGAAGAAGAUGAGGAUGAAUAUUACUUUUUCAGUGGUUUUACAUGGGAAGCGGUGGUGAUUGGAUAUGGGUUUGGAGUGGUGCCUGCAUUUAUCGCCGGGUACUUGAUGUUGCUGGCACGGAAACCAAAAUGGUUUGCUGGAAUCAUUGGCAGGGAAUUGGGCCUCAAGAUCAGGAGGAUGGAGAUUAGAAUGCGAUAACUACAGGUUUGGUGUAAUCUGUAUCCCAUUCCCAGGUCUUGAAAAUUCUGUAAUAAUAUAGUAAUAUCUGCUCUCAUAUAAUUCUAUAUUUGCAGAUUCAGAUGGGACAAGCAGGAUUCAGAUGCAUUGCAUUGGAUUCAGAUGGGACAAGCAGGAUACAAGUUAUGUAGUAUUGUUUUGUUCCAGCUCUUAUCUGAUCUGCAAUCAAGUUAAUGAACCACUACCUCAGUUGUUAAGCAUCUUUCAGCAUUUUAAUUUUACAACUCACAAUAAAAGAUUACAUGUGUAUUAAUCUGAUCAUCAUUGGUUUAGAUCAAUAUAGAAGUUCGGCUUUGUUUAUUUCUAUCCCGGGCUCCUCAUUUUUAGAACAUAUUUGUUGAUACUUUUUAUGGAACGGUUAAGAAUAUUCCAUAGAUUUUUAUAUUCAGUGCUAGAUGAUUUUAUGUCCUGUUUUCAUUCCAAUUUCCGUUCAUGAACUAAUUAAAAAUCUGAAAGUGGGUCAUAUCUGGCAGUGAUGCCCACCUUUCUGGACCUGAAUUUCAUGACCACACAAACUCCAAUUCUGCCCAAAAAUUGCAGCUGUUUCGUAAAAUAUUUUUACGUGCUCUUUUGUUUGGACUUGUUUGCUGGACCAUGCAUAUGUUUUGAUACAAACAUCUUCGUGUAUGUUAACACUCUUGUGUCAGUUUCUGGACUCAUUGUUAGUAGCCCAUUCUUUACGGCAGACAUUGAAUUGGAUUUACUUGAAGAAAUGAAGGUUUAAGAAAGUUGAGAACAAUUUGUUGAUAAUUUCCUUCCCUAGAAACUGCACUCCAGCAUCAAAGUACCUUUCAAAGACUCCAGACAUCAUCUCUUGAUUAUCGAAGACUUGGUCUUGCAUAUACUGAUAUACAGUGAAUAUAGAUUUCUUUCAUUUCCUUGAAAUUGCAUUUUUGGAAGUAGCUCUCCAGACUCAUUCCCGUCACUUCUUAAAGUCUUAUUCCUCCUCAAUACUACAUACACGUAAUAUCACACCACUUUGCUCAUGCUCAGAUGGGUUUUUCUUACAAACCACAUAUGUUCACUUCUCAGAGUCUUAGUCCUCGUCAAUGUAUAGAGAUAAUAUCUCACCAUUUGCUAGUGCUACAAAUGGGCUUCUCCUACAACCACACAUAAUCGGAGAAAAGUCUGUCAAGUGUCAAGUGGACUUGAAAGACCCUUGUGCAUGGAUUAUUGUAUGUCAUGAAUGCCUUCUGAUAUCCCUGAAAGUGCAAGCAAGUUAUAAAAGUAGCUGGGCAGACUCUUUCUCAUCAAUACAUUCACAUUUAAAGCGGGCGUUGAUAUGCCUCCCUAAUUUUCUAAUGCCCUAGACGGAAUUCUAUUACAAUCCACAUAUGAUGGGUAGCGAUCAUCAAUUCAAAGAAGAGACUAUCAGCAGCUUGCAGGAAAUGUCCCCUCUGCAUGGAUUAUCGAAGAAAGGAACUUAUACCUAUAAAGAUGUAGAAAACCAAUGGUAAGCAUAACUGCAUAUAAGAUACAAAACUAAAUUUAAUACAAGACUCGUUCUGAGCAUUGGAAAAUAUAAUUCAUCCUGGUCUUCGUCUUCUACUUCUCCAAAUAUGCUUUUAUUGCAGCCAAUGUAUUAGUGAAAAGAAUUAAAUUUAAAUUAAUUGUAGACCGCAAAUAUAAGAUUAGGAGAGUUUCUACAACCCACAAAUUAGUAGACAGACUAAUAUGGUUAGUUGAGACCAUCAAUCUGGAGAAACUGUUUCUACAAUGACCCAUAUGUAUGAAUUAUUGAAGAAAGAAACUUAUACCUACAAUGUAAAGGAAAUGGUCACGAGUAUAUUGCAUUUUUAAUCCAAAUUGUAUAUGAUUCUCUCUGUGCUACUGAUAGUUAAUAAUAAAUCUACAACGGAACUUGCAGUUAAUCAAGGUAUUUAAGUCUACCUUUCUACAUUGUUGAAUAGUUUGAAUUAAAUAAUUGUAAUAAAUUUUUUGCUGGAUGCUGUGUGAGUUUACCAGAGCUUAUCACGGUGAGAAGUUCACUAAAGCUCUUGGAAUUAGUAAAUAAAAACUCAGGGCAGUGAAUUAGAAGUCUGAGUACAAGGCAAUGAGCAGGAAACAACAUAGGGAGUUUACAACUAGAAGUAUCUAUUCUCCCCCAGUCUUUUUGUGAACAUCAAGAGGCCAUUCAUAUUGCUCACAAACCAGUUAAAAGUGGCAGGACUACACAUAAUGAAUCACACAGUCACUUUAUGUGAGAAAAGAAAAUUGUCAGGACUGCAAUGCAUUUCUAGCCCAUUUUGUACAGCAGCUCAAACGUUUAAAAAACUUCAUUAAUUAUUUUCUUUUAUUGAAACCACACUCAUCCAUCAAAGUAGCUCUCAAAGUCUAAUUUCCAUCACCUUCUGAUUCUCAAAGUCUUCUUCUUCGUCUUAUAUUGCACGCCACAUAUUAGUAGACAUACUACAUCAACUCUGUAGAAAGAAACAAUCUAUAGUAGUUGAUGUACAAUGUUAUUAUGUAAAUGUAUAAUAUCAAAAUUAGGAAUAGAAAUCACGCCCUAAUAAUUAACCCUCUGCAGGGGUUAUUAAAGAAAGCAGCUUAUAACUUUAGUUGCUGAACAUUUGUGUGGGCCAAAUUCAAUUUUACACAUCAUUACUAGAUUUACACAUGGUAUUAGACAUCAGUACUAGUAUAAGAUGUUAAUCAAGUUUUGGAAUUUCUUUUAUUUCAGAAAACAAGUUUUUAACUCUCUUUUUUUUUUGUGGUAUUAAUUAUUUAUAUCACGCAUUUGAGCUUUAAAAUUAGCUCUAAAUAAAAGUUGAUUUUCGCUCAAAGAAACAAUGAUGUAUAAGAAGAUUUUCAGAACUGAAUUAUUUCUUUCCAUUUUUACAGUUCCAUUCAAGAACCGAAAGCAGCUCACAAAGACUCACUACAUCAUCUUUCAAUUCUCAUAGUGUUGGUCUUUGUCUUCUGCUGCUCAAAAAUUCUAUUACAGCCCACAUAUCAGUAUCAUAUACCUAAUUAUAAAUAGUAUUUAACACUUAACACCAUUAAAGAUUUGUCUCAGAGACUUACUUCCAUCACCUUAUGGUUCUCAAACUCUUCGUCUUCUAAUGCUCCAAAAGUUCUAUUAGUGCAGGCCACAUAUUGGUAAACAGACUACAAUUCAUCCAAAAUGACCCUCUUAUUGGACACUUUGAACACCUCUGUCUGUAUAUGCAUUGGAGAAGAAUUAUCAGCUCGUUAAAAUAACCUCUUCGCAUCAACUCUAUGGAAAGAAGCAAUUCAUACCUAAAGUACAAUGUUUGGAUAAAAUUAGGGAUAGCAACCGCACGCUAAUUUUUUAGUUGAAGCAGGCUACCUUAGUGUAAUUAACUGAACAUCCCCGUAAUUUCUUGACAGGCCACAAUUAAGGAAGUUUACAGAAUUACAUUCCAGAAGUAGCUCCCUGAGACAGAUUCGCAUCAUCUUUCAAUCUUCAAAGUUCUUUAUACUUAUAUUAUAUUUCAUGUUUUAUUGUAAUGAACAUAGCAGUUUCCUGUUCAGUAAUAUUCCAGGCUCAGGUUCUUCAUUCCAAGUCUCUGUUACAUGUUUGCUACUAAAACGUAUUAAACAGUUAUUAGUUUAUGACUGUAUUCCAUCUUGAAAGGAGAUCUCAAAGACUCAUUCCCAUAAUCUUCAGAAUCUCAAGUCUUGAUGAACUUGGCCUUCAUCAUAUUUGUACUCUUGUAAUUCCAUAUUAAUCAAGUUUAAAUAUUAAAAUUUUUAAUUUUAGUAAAUUUGUAAAAAUAGUAAAAUUUGUCUUAUUUAUAAUAUUUAUAAAUCUCUUACUUUCCUGUUACUGUAUUCAACUUAAUAAUUUUUACAAACACUGUGCAUCACAUAAGUUAUGUAAAUUUAGAACAAAUUAUGUCCAAUUUAUUUAAGAGAGAUUGUUAUAUUGUUUUUACUUUAAAAUUAAUGGUAUCUUUUAUUUUUAAUAUAAUUUACAGCUAAAAAUAUUUGAUAUAUUUUCACACUGCUUCUUAUUUUUGUAAUAUGACUAAACAUAUCUUAAAUACACUUUUUUCCUAUAUAUAUGCUAGCCUCUCGAGAUGUUGAAUAGAUCAUCCCAAACAAAAAAAUUUAAGGGAAAUAGAAAAUGAGGAAUUCCAUCCUCUGUUUUUCCACCAUCAGUUUGUUGCUCAUCUUCCUGCAGUUGCAGCACAACCUAGUGGCUUCUUCAUUAAGUCCCCACUUGCAGAAACUUGCCUUGUUCCACUUUAACCAAACCUUAACAAUCAGUACUACUAGCUGGGAUUGCGAGUACUAUUCCUACGAUGGAUAUUACGAAAUUCCUUCACGGGCAAAGACAAAGAAUUGGAGCAUGAGUUCCGAUCACUGCACAUGGGAGGGAGUUAGCUGCGACGACAAGACAGGGGACGUUAUCGGACUGGAUUUAAGUUGCAGUCAGCUGGAAGGAGCCAUUCUUUCUAACAGCACCCUCUUCCAGCUCUCUCAACUCCGCUUCCUCAAUCUUUCUCACAACGGCUUUUACAAUCAGUUCCCUCAGGAAUUUGGUUUCUUUGCAAAAGGUUUGACGCAUCUCAAUCUCUCUCGUACUGGAUUAUCAGGGAGAGUUCCCUCUGGAAUCUCUCAUUUGUAUAAACUGGUCUCACUUGAUCUCGGUCGCAACUAUAGGGCUUGGGCUAAACUUGAAGAAGAAGUGUUUAAAUCACUGUUGCAGAAUUUAACUCAUCUUGAAGUGCUUAAUCUUGAAGGGGUUAGCAUCUCCUCUGUUUUGCCCCUGAAUAUCUCUACUUCUUUAAGAUUUCUUGCUCUUGCGGGAACUGAAAUACACGGAGUAGUACCUCAAGAGGUUUUCCACCUUCCCAACUUGGAAUUUCUUCGUUUAUCAUAUAAUGACCACCUGAGAGUAACAUUACCCAAAGUUAAGUGGGGAAGUAGUGCUACUCUCCAACACCUUCAACUUUCAGGCGUCAACAUAGAUGGAGGUAUGCCUGACUCAAUAGGCUUUUUGGAGUCAUUAGUCAGUUUACAUCUGAUCCAGUGUAAUUUGUCUGGGCCGAUACCAAAAUUCAUUGGGCAACUCGUUCAACUUACUCACUUGGGCCUGGCUGCUAAUAAUCUCAGUGGCCCAAUUCUAACUUUUUUAACACGCCUUGCAGACUUCAGAUCUAUCUUCCCUUGAGCAUAACAAUUUUACUGGUCCGUUUCCCUCUUUUCUUGCCCACUCCAGUAAACUAGUUGAGUUGUAUCUUCAUAAUAAUAGCUUUACUGGAUCCCUACCUCGUUCGUUGUUUCACCAUCCAUCCUUAGAGAUCUUGAAUCUGGCAUAUAAUGCAUUCACGGGUCCACUACAUGAAUUUCAUUCUUCUUUGUCACGAUUGCGAUCUUUUUAUUGUUCCAGCAAUUUACUCAAUGGAUCCAUUCCACAUUCAUUUUCUCAACUUGUGAAUCUCACUGAACUAGAUCUUUCAUCAAACAAUUUCACCGGGGUUUUGGAUUUGGAAAUGUUUUCAGGCCUCAAAUCUCUAGGAAUUCUUCAUCUUUCUUAUAAUAGUCUUUCAGUGAGAACUACAACUAUGGCCACUCUCCCUCCUACGCUUAACGACUUGGCCUUGUCAUCUUGCAACAUGAAAGAGUUUCCUCACUUUUCAAGAGAUGCAAACAUCUUCCUCGAUUUUGUAGACCUAUCAAACAACAAAAUUGAAGGGGAAAUUCCACACUGGAUUGGGUCGGUGGGGAGGUACCCUUUCUAUCCAAUCCAUUAUCUGAAUCUUUCUCACAACGGACUAAUAUGCGGUCUUGAGCAACUGCCUUGGAGUCAUGUUGAAUUUCUUGAUCUCCAAUACAAUAAGCUGAAUGGAUCAUUGCCCACCUUGAUGUGUAAUUCCAGCUCUCUCCGGGUUCUAAAUCUCUCUCACAACAAGUUGAGUGGUGUACUCCCCAUUUGCCAUACAAAUUUGACUUCGCUUCGCGUGUUGGAUCUGCGGAGGAAUAAAAUUCAAGGAAACAUUCCAGCAACCUUGUCAAAUUUCCGUAACCUGGAAACUGUUAAUUUGAAUGGAAACCGAUUAGAAGGAAGCAUUCCUUCUUCUUUUGCUGGAUUUGAUUCUUUAGCCGUUCUUGAUCUUGGAAAUAAUCAGAUAAAUGAUACAUUCCCC